RNAcentral lists this long non-coding RNA (50187 nucleotides) under Lotus japonicus. RNAcentral's name for it is "long non-coding RNA (LJAP_LNC001433)". Lineage: Eukaryota; Viridiplantae; Streptophyta; Magnoliopsida; Fabales; Fabaceae. The record is from RNAcentral.
GCAUCUUCAGUUUCAAAAAUCCAGGAUAUCUGAUAGAAGAUACAUACACCAAAAUAAAAUCAACUUCAGCAUCUACGGACUGUAUAGAUACGAAAAUAAUUCGAACAAUACAUAUACACUGACCUAGAAAACACUUGUAUUAGCUCUUGUUCAUUACAAGACGGCCCCAGAUUAGCUACAAAUAAAGUUGCACAGGGGAUUGUAUUUUGAGGAAUGUAAGGUAUUGAACACUUUUUCUGUCAACACAAGAUAUGAAAUAAAAACAAUUACUUGAAGUGGAAAAUGCAAUAAUUUUAAAUUAACUAUAGUCCUAGAUGCAAGAGAAACAAGGAAAAACAACACGGUUAGAUACAACAAUUUAAUAAAGCAUAAUAAUGUUGACCAGCCUAAUCCAUGUAAAGCAUAUAACUGAGAAACAUUGUACAGUUUAACCACAAAUUUUAAUAGUCUGGAAAAAAAAGAUUAUGAGAAAAGCAUUUUGAGUUCACCACCGAAAGAUUUAACCAUUUAGAACAGCUAAUAGAGGUAAAUAUCUUAAGGUGAUGCAAAAAACAGAUAGAUUGAGUGCUACAUAACACUAACCAGAUUUCCAUAUAGACCAUCAUUGACAGCAUUUCCAUCAGCACUCCCAUAACUUUUGCAGAAAACAAACAAACAGACAAUUAGAUGAGAUAGCAUGAUAUACAAAGGCAAUAGCCCAAAAGAAUUUCUCUUGUACUAUAAACACAUUAGUUAUUUUCUUCUAAUAAUAUAGAAUGAGUUCCCCAACAGCAGCUCAAAAUAAUUAACUUGUAAUAUUGAAAAAUGUGCUCUAUUUGAGUUAGAAGCAAUGACUUCCAUAUAAUAAAGGUGUGAUUAAGUAGUGCAGAUGACCUUUGUGCAGAUGGAUAACCAAUCGUGUUCAUGUUGAUAGAAGGAUUACCCAUUCCAGGCAUGUGAAUGCUGCUAACACCUGCUAGUGCCGAAGAGUGCAAAACAUGUGCAAUGUGAGAUAAAAGUGUCCUUUUGUGUGAUCAACAUUUAACUAGUCUUUAAGCAAGAGAUCAUCAACAUCAACCGCAUAUACAUAGAACAACAUCCUACACACUAAAACAAUCUAGCACCAUCUUACUUACCGGAAUCAGGAGUCGCCCAUGACGGUGCAGACCCUCUAGCUUUCUUAUCCGAGCCACCUCUCUCAUCAUCUGCUCACCAAUGUCAAUCAACCAUCACAAUUCAAUUCAAACCUCUUAAAAUGUAAAUGGGAUUAGGAAAAUAAGGUAAUCAAGACACACACACACCUAUCCGCGUUCGCUUAGAUCUAGAGUUGGAUUUGGCAAGAUCAAUAUAAAGAGUUGAAUUCUUUUCAAGAUCAAACACCAUCCCCUGCAAACCACAGCAAUCAAAAUAUUCAAUUCAGACACUGAAAACUGCUACUGAGCAUGAAAUGUAUGUAACACAAAAGAGCCUUACAUUCAGAGCAUGCAUUGCCAUUACUGCAGAUUGCUGAUUCAUGAACACAGCAAAAGCAAAAGGCUAUCGGAACAAAAAAUCACGUCACAGAAAGCAUAUCAGUAAUCAAUCAAUGCAAACACAAUUACAAGAUAAUCAAAACAGUUGAAAACGCUUUGCAGUUUGCAGAAUCGAUUAUUAUUGUACCUGUGAUGAAUUGGUGGGGCUACGAAGAUGCGAUGAUUCGUAACCAGGAAAUUCGCGGAAGAGGUUGUAGAUUUCGCGGGGUUUUACAUCUUCAGGGAGUCCAGCAACGAAGAGGGUACGGACCUCGUGUGUGGGGGAUUGAGGAAGAGCGAAGGAAUUGUAGAGAGGUUGUUGCUGGUGGUGAGGAACAUACUGCGGAUGCGGGAAAACGGUGCCGGGAGGAGGUGGCACCACCGUCAUGAUAGGCGGCGGCGGAGGUGGCUGAUAAUAUGAAUAAUUGAGAAGGGCGGGUGGUUGGGUUUGAGCGUAGUAGGCAGCCAUGUCGUCCAUCGGAGCACUAUUGCAGUGGUUCGGAAGCCCUAGAGUAUUUCAUUUCUCUCUCAACAACUCCUCUGUUUUUUUUGUUGAAUUGUUGUGCUUUUCAUUUUCUUGACAAUAUUGGGCUGGCCCAUUAGGGAGCUGGUCUUCCUUAUCUGGGCCUGGCCCACUGGGAGUUUUGCAGUGAAAUUAAUUUAACCUACUAAGUCUAGACUAUAGAUUGACCAAAAAAAAAUUCUAGACUAUUGCAAAGGAAAAAGAAAACUGAAUGAAGAGAAAAAUUGGAAGCAAGCAAUUUAUUUUUAUCUUUCUCUUUCAUGAACUUUACAAUUUAUAGUUAGGGUUCAACCCUUGGGGUGUGUAUGUGAGUUCAAUUUUGAGGAGAAGGAAAGGGAAGAUGGAUGCUUGUGAGUAGAGGCAGGCGGAGGAACAUGAGUGGGGCCCAUCGAUGUCACAAUCCUUUCUAUCUUUUAGAUUUUUAUCUUAAUAUUAUGUAUGUAUAUUUUUCUUAUGACCUUUGUAGUCAGCUUAAUAAAAUAGAAUCAAUACUAUGUAUUUUUUUUAUGGCCCACUUCCAAACACGUACACAAGGUUGCUCAAAUAAAUUUAUAAAUUUUUGUAAUUAGAACGUUAUUAUCGUCGCAUUGAUUCUUUUUUACAGUACUCGUUAUGGUAUGUUGGAGUGUUUUUACAUGUGCCCAUAUACCAAUACGUCUAUAAAAAAAAAAGGCAAACUUAAAAAUGUUGGUUGUGUUUUAAACCCUCCGGCGUCCCUGUUGUUUUCGCCCGCCGUCGUUCAUAAACGUGCCAGCGCUGUUUCUAAUCGUAGUUCAUGGGCAUCGUUAUCUGGUUCCCUUCAAGAGUACACUCUGUCGCCGCUGUAGCCCCCAAUUCUUUUUUCGUCCUUCAUCGUUUGCAUAAACCUUUUGAACCUUCCCCCGCCACAAGCCUUUUUUAUCUGAUAAGAAGCACUUCCGCAGCAAACCCCUUUUGGGGUUUUAAAAUUAUUCAGAUCUCUAUGAAAUUUCUACUUUGAGAUACAUGAAUUGAUAUUCUGGGUUUAAAUUGAUAUUUUCAUUCUUGGUUUCCAUUCAAUUGGUUGUUCAACAAUUCAGUCUGGCCAAUGUUUUCUGAUAACAAUUCACACGAAACAUGUUAGGCACAUGUGGGAAUUUAUGAUCACCUCUGCUAUACAGUUUCACUCAUGGAGGAUGGGAGAGGAAGAGAACGACAUCACAGACGAAGAUGAACACAGAGGAGAGGAGGAAGGAUUAGAUUAAUAUUUGCCCCAAAUCAACUUGAAAUGUUUAAAAUCAACUAAGGUUAAAAUCAAUUUGAAAAUCAGAAAGUAAACAUUUUCUAAAAAAAAUGUAUUUUAAACACAUAGUAAAACUUAUAAUAGAGAUAUUUAGAGGAUCAAUUUAACAACUUUAUAAGUUAAAAUGACAUGACACAUUUCCACACUUGGCAUUCACUGAUUGGGUAUAAGAGAAACAACAUUAUAACCCCCUCUCACCAACUAACAUGUAAAAGUUUGCCUUUUUUAUAAGCCAAAUAUCGUAAAAACUCAAGUAUCCCUUACACGUAGAUAUGAGAUUUUAUUAUAUAAUUAUUAUCGAAAUACAACAUAAUCAUAUAAAGUUCAAUCGCUUAGCGAGGAUCGUGACAACUCAUGGGGAGAUUACACCAUCUCUUUAUUCUCUCUUUGCUAGUUAUUGCCAUAACACAAGUACUGACUCAACAAGGGUAAAUACCCUCGUGCAAUUCCAGCUGCUCAGUUUACCCUGCAAUUACAACUUACUCACAAGUUAUAUUUAUAGACAUAGCUAGCUAGUAAGCAAGCAAGCAAUUUCUCUUGCAGAAGCAGAAUGGGUGAAUUUCGUGGAAGCAAAUCAAAAAAUUGUACGUAUGAGUGAUCGCAGGCUGUUUUCUUCUUUAAGAUGAAACACGGAAAAAAUCGCACACGAUCAUGUUUUUCCGUUCUUGCUUAAAGGGAAUUUGAAAUUGCGACCAUGCAAUUGAAAAACGCUGCUUUCUUGUUUUCUUUCAUUGAUUCAAAGCAUCUAAUUCAUCAAUCAAGAAUGAUACGUGUAGCACGUUGUUUUUGUUCAUUGAAAAACGCUUCUUUCUUGACAUUAUUACAAUAUAUAACAUUCAUAUCUAUCAUUUAUAAUAUAUCUCUAGUCCUCCCAAAAGUUGUACACAAAUUCAUGACUCAUGAGUACCUAUUAAAACAUAAUUGUUUUUUAUUACCAAGAUAUCCCCACAAUUGAUAACAAUGAGACUAAUCUUCUCGAAGCUUGAAGAUCAUAUUAAACGGAUAAACUCUUUUUAAUAAAUCAUUCUUCAUACAUAUUACUCUAAGAUUGAAUCCUCGACUAAACUUAAGGAGCUUAGUUAUCUACCAACUCAAAACUAUGACUAAAACGACUUUUAUCAAAUUCAAAAGAGUAAUGCAGGUUACAUUAACUUAAUAUUGUUUGUAAAAUUAACUACAUUAUGCAAUAAUAACCUCAAUUGCCACACAAAUGUAUAUCAUAUCAGAUACUACCUCCGGUCCUAUUUAUAAAAAUCAAAGUUAAAAAAAAUUUUGGUCAUUUCUAUAAGAACCAAAUGAAAGUUUGUGUUAUAUUAAUUAUUUUUUUUCCAAUGAUACUCUUAUUAUUUCCAACUAGUAAAAGUGUAUCAUUAAUUAUUCUCUCUCCUUCACACUCUUCAACACUAAGGUUAUGUUUGGCACGCCUAGCUAAUAAGCUAGCUAAAAGAUGAAAAACUAGCUGAAAACUUAUAAGCUAGUUGAAAGCUGAAAGUUGAUAAGCUAGCUGAAAGCUGAAAAGCUACGUGAUUGGAACAAAAGUGUUUGGUAAAACUAACUAUUGAACAAGCUAAAUUUGUAAAAUGACAUAAAAGGACAUACUUAUAUAAUUUUUUUAUAUUUAACAUUAAUUUGUUUUCACACUAAUACCUAUAUGAUAUUAAUAUUAACUUUAAAUAUUUUGAUUCCACUCAAGUUAUUUAUCAUCUUAAAAAUAUAAUAUUAAUUAUUACUUAUUUAAUUUUCUAUAUUUUUAUUAAAUUAAAUAUAAUAAAACAAAUAAUUUGUAAUUUGUAAUAUAAAGUUAAAUAUAAUGCACAGCUGCUUGUGCGUUAGUGUUGUGUGGAACGGUAUGCAUAUGAGAUAAGUGUGAUAACUGAUAAGUAAAUAGGUUUAGUAAAAAACAUAUAAGGCUAAAGGUGAAAUUUUAAUAAAAUAAUAAGGAUAAAAAUGAGAAUAUAUUUAAUAAGUUAUAAGCUACCUAAACUACUGAAAUAAGCUCAUUCACCAAACAUUUUUAAAAAGUUUUUAAGCUAGUAAAAUAAGCUUUAAGCUAGCUGAAAUAACAUGUCAAAAAUAGCCUAAUACUACUACAUUAGAAAAAAGAGUAAUUUUGGAAGUUUAUUUUAAUUUAGGACAAAUAUAAUGCAUUGUAACUAAUUGAACUACAUUUCUUAAACUAUGAGAUUUUUUUCAGUUUUUAUAAAUAAGACGGGAGGUAGUACCAUGCUAAGCUUUAUUACAAAUAUGAGGAUUGAUGAGGAAUUAAACAGCAACACCAUGUCCUAGCUAUAUCUUAUCAUGAACUUUUGUGCCAUACAUAAUAUAUUAUAUGAGCAAUUAAAUAUGAAAUUUAGAAGAAAAUAUAGGGUUAAAUGUUUUCGGUCUCCUUAAAAUUGCAAAUUAUUGAUUUUGUCCCCUUAAUUUUUUUUAUUAAUGUUAGUCCCUCAUUUAUAAAAAUGAUGAGGUUUUAGUUCUUUAUCCAUUUUAAUAUGCAUUUUGUCGCGGCUUUUUAGAAGGUUUAAACCGUCACUAAUAUAUUUUACGUCAGUUUUUGUGUAUUAGUGACGGUUAAAUUGCCUCAAAAUGCUCCACAUCAGAAUUAAAAUGGAUAGAGGGAUCAAAACAUGAUCAUUUUCAUAAAUCAAAGAUUAAAAUCAAUGAAAAAUCAAAGAAGACUAAAAUCAAUAAUUCACUAUUAAAAAAUAUAUUUAACCCAAAAAAAUAUAUGAAGUGAAUCUUCCAAACCUUUAUAUAAGUGACAGAGUAGCUAGUCUAUCAAUUAUAAGAUUAUACGUUUGAAAACAAAUUAAAGCUGGUGUAUCUAUCAAUUGGGUACCAAAUAUAAACAACUUUUUUAUAAGCGAUAGAUAUGGUAGUUUGAAUGGGAAAAAAAACCAAAAAGAAAACCCCUAUGGUAAAUGAAAAUAUACGGUAAUUAAUUAAUAAAUUUAAAAAGUAGUUUAAGUAAUUGAAUUUUACAUGAAUUUUUUUUUCCCACACUUGUCUUACUAGCUAAAUGAGCUUGCUUGCAAAUGAGCUUUGCUGUGCAUGUUAUUUGUAUGGCAGAGAUGAUGUGGCACGCCACGUGUGUUAAUGAGAACCAAAAUCAAACAAUUUUUCCCUCGUGUGUUAAGGAGUGACAAGGCCCUUGAGUCAAUUGUUUGAUUUCUAACGUUGUAUGAUUAGGGAUCGAUCUGGUAUUAAUUUCUGAUACCCAUUAGCCAUCUUCUCCAAAGUUUUGAUAUCUUUACCAUAAUUUUUCCAAAUUUAACAAAACAAUAAGAUUUUCAAUGUUCGUGGAGAUUAUGGGUUCGACACACUUCGAGGAGUGGUAGAAGUGAAGGAGAGGACGGGGUGGCUGUGGAGGCUUGAGGUUUAAACUGAAAUUGAGUUUCUGAAAAUGCAUCAAGAUGAGGAAUUUGAAUUGGGAGUGCAAGUGUUUAAUUAGUUUAUAAUUAGAUUACUAAUGAGAUAAUAAAAUUGAAGUGGGAAAAUGUUUGAUUUAGGUAUUGAUCAAAACACGAGAUCAGGCACAUUAUCUCCGCCGCACAUUAACACUUGACAUGCUCACCAUACCUCAUUUUCAAGAGAUAACUAAAAGCGGGGUUGGUGGUGGCAGUGGCGACAUUAAUAGUUGUGGUGGUGAUAGCGGCGGUGACGGUGGUGGUAGUGGCAAUGGUAGUGAUGAUAGAAGUUGCAGCUUGUUUCAUUUUCACUUAAAAUGAAAAUGAUUUUUUUCUUAUGUUUUGGUCAUAUUUUAAAAAAUGUUUUUGAAAAAAAUAUUUUCUAAAUAUUAAUCGAAUAUGUUAUCAGCUGUAUUUUUUAUUUAUAUUGAAAAUGAAAAUAGGAAAUGGGUCAAUUCCUACUUUACUAGUAUUUUUUUGAAAUUUACUUUACUUGGUAUAGUGAUAUCAAGGAAGUAAAAAUCAUUAAGCGGCUUUCAAGAUCUCAUUUUAAUUACCAGCUAAACAUACUAUUACUAUUGUCUUUAAUAAUGGGAAUCUUUUCAAUUGGUGCAAUUAACUAAAUUAAUAAAGCAUUAACCUAGACAGAAUCCCAACUAAUCUGACCCUUGUCAUUAAUCAACAGUUCAAAUUAAUUAAGUUAGAUCGAUGACCUCUCGUCAAUGAACAAUCUAUACCUAUUUUAAAAAUAUGUAAUAAUACUUAUGGAUCAAAUUAAAAUAGUUCCACUCUCUUCGUUCCAUGUGAUCAGAUUGCUUUCUCAUGGAAUAAACACUAUACACAUACAGAGCAAGCCUUAAUGCAUGUGCUUCUUCUUUUAUUUGCAAGUACGGAUGAAGUUGCCGGCAUUGACCCAUUAUAUAGGUGUUUUGAAAUAAGUAAUUAGUAAUUAUGUAUACACAACUCAUUUUCUUUUUGAUCAUAUCAUUUUCAUACAUUUUUCUUGUUUCUGCAUUUUCUAAAUAGAUCACAUAUUUCUCUUUUUUCUCUUCUUUAAGGUGAAGGGCUGAAAGUGGAAAUAAAUUGUUAACAUAACAUUAUUCGUUUAGAAACUGAUAAGUCACUCCGAUCAGACUAGAGACUAGAGACAGGGGCGGAACUUGGAGAGGACAUAAGGGAGCCAUGGCUCCUUCAAAAUUCUUAGAAAACUCUUACAUAAUGCCCAUGAUAAAAAAAAAAUGUUUCACUCAUAUUAUAUAUACUGUAAUUUGUAUACUGUCACACAAACUUCAUGGUGACUUGGUGGAAAGUCAUCAUUCCUCUCUUUUUUAGAUACUGGGUUCGAAUCCCGUAUAUGUCAGUAUUUAGGUUACUUUUUUCUGUUUCACUCCCUUAACUAGCUUUAGGUUAGUGUGUAGAAUUUUUAAAAUGUCUUUUUAAAUAAUUUUUUUUGAUAAUCUCUUUAAAUAUUUAUUUGUUUUCUCUACUAUUAUUUAAAUUUUUAUUUAAGUCAACAUUAUUAAUGAUAAAAAAAUUCAGAAAACAAAUUAUCAAAAGGUAAUAUAAAUUCAGUCAACAUUAUUAAUAUAUAUAUAUAUAUAUAUAUAUAUAUCAAGAAGGUAAAAAUUGAAAAAAAAUGAGAAGUAAGUUUUUAAUUAUUAACAUAACUUUUAAUAAAUUUUCAAUAUUCAUGUAUAUAAAUUUCAUCUUUAUUUUCUUUUGUAUGAAUAUAUACAUGUAUUGUUGAUAAAAUAUUUUAAUUUAUGUAUUGAAAUUUUAUUUCGGCUCCCUUAAAAUUUUCCUCCAAGUUCCGCCACUGGACAUGGAGUUCUUAAAAAUAAGAACUAGUUCUUAUAUAAGAAGUUUUACUUUUUGAGUUAUUAGCAUAAAAAAAUUAUUUUUUCUUUCUCAUUCAUCAACUUAUUUAAUUUAAGUAUUGAAUUAGAAUUUAAAUUUAAAUCAAAAUUAUAUGAAAAUAAAAAAUAUUACUAAUAUAAUGGUAUUGUGAGACCAGAUGAAUAGUGCUAAGAACUAAGAACUCAUGGUUGGAGCAAAUCUACAGAGAGUUGCUUAAGCACAUGUGGCACUACGUGCUCACAUGAAUAGUGCCAAAAAUUAAGAACUAAGAACUAAGAAACUAGCAUUGAAGAUGCUCUAAGUACUCUCUCCAUGGUAAGUCAUGGUUUUCUCUCAGUCAUGUUUGUUUUGUUACCAAAAUGAAGUAUAUGAGAUUCUGCAUCUGUGAUUAUUAGGUUUGGAUUUAGUCCUUGUGAGAGCGACCAUAGUGUUCAACACCUUGUACUGCAUUUAAAGAAGAAUAUUUUGACACACAUCAGGACAGUGCGUUCGUCUGUAACACAAUGUUCUGGAGAGCUUCUUGCGCAACCAAAAAUCAAUCCAAAUAGUGUAAAUAAAAGCAAUGUAAGUGCUAUUACUUUACGUUCUGGAAAAACAACUAACUCUCCUGCACCCCUUAAAAUUUUCCUCCAAGUUCCGCCACUGACUAGAGACCCGUUCAGUCACAUGAAAAUGAAAAAAUCCUGAACUGGUUGAACUGGUAUGCAUCGAUGCCUAGAAUCGGUGUUAUAGACCAAGUUAAACAAGUGAAUUUUUUGCAUUUUAAAAAAAAAACUAAGUAUUUUAACUAUUUAUUUUUUUAUCAUAUAAAUUAAAUAAGAUAGUUGAGGACAUAUGAGUUGAGAGGGGAGGUACAUGGAUUAAUCUUUAAAUGGUGCAAUUUAUCUUUUCAAUAUAAAAAAUAUAUAAAUUAAAUAAGAUGAAAAAUUUAUUAUAAUUGAAAAUUCAAUCAUUCUAAUUUUUUUUAAUAUUGUAUAUGAAUGUAUUACAUAGUAACUAUAGUUUAAUGAUGCUUGUCAAUGUGUGGUGCCUUAAAUGAUAUAGACCAAUAGAAAACAUAGAAUUUAAACUUAGAGGAAGAGGAUUAAGGAAGAUUUGGAGGUUCAAUAUAGGUGGAGAAUGAAGGAAGAUGAUCUUAACAUGGAAGAAAUUUAAAUGAUCUCUCGGAGUUAUAAGUUCAACUAAAAACCUUAAUUUUCAAAUUGUGCAUUACAUAACAUAAACAAACUUAAGAACUAUAUGUUAUUAAUUCAUCAAGUCGAUCAUAGAACUUUUUAAAAUUAUAAUAAUACAUACUUUCAUCUUUCUUUAACCAAAUAACAAAAUUAUAACUUAAAAUAUCAUAUGGAAUACAACACCAAAAAAAAAUCUGCGUACCCCAAAAUUCACCCAAUAUAAUUGUGGUUCAACUAUUAAAUCUUGAACUGAUGUUUCGACUAAUUCAUGAUUGGUCCGACUUUUUAAUAUUGAUUUAUAUCAUACAACUUGCAGCCAUGCAUGGAUAUUUGGAGGAAGCUGACUUUUAUGCCUCUUUCAGUGCAUGAGAGAUUUGUAAAAGGGCACGUGCAUACGAUUAUUUAGAAAAGUAAAUUUUAAACUCUAUUUUUAAUAAUGAGUUUGGAUCUCACUUGGAAACUGAUGCCAUUUUUUUGAAGAAACUUGAUAAUGGUUAUAGGAGUAGGAUUAGUAUAAUCAGAGAUCGGAGACCAAUAGUGUGCCUGUUUGGAUAGGAACUGAAAGUCCGUUUGCUUCUCUUGAAAUGUGUGUGCGUGAUUUCCAAAGUGCUCAAACGCGAAAGAUAAAAAUUGUUUCGCUUACGUUCACGUUCAAUCCAACAUAAAUACAAACAGACCAAGAGUCCAUUCGGCAAGGGGCUUGGGAGUAUAGCUUGGCAAUAAUCUCUUCUAUAAUUCUAUAAACAUGGUUCAUACUUGCUCAAUGUAAGUUGUAUAAAUAUGGUUCAUAUGUAGAUCAAUUGUUUAUUAAAUUACUUUUGUUAGUCAUUUUCUUUUAAACUGCUACAUUCGUUUCUUACUAACGGUUCAUAAAGAGAAAUAAAUAGGUUGUAGGCAUGUAAAGAAAUACAAUUAAUUUUUUUAAAAAAAAUAUAAUUUAUUAUUUAUUUUACCUUUUAUAAUGCAAGUUAUCUCUUAUUUUUUUAGUAUAAACAUUCGGUACUCGGUUACCAUUUGAAUACUGCCAGAUUCGGGAUUUAAUUAUAGUUAAGACUCUUCAUCCCUCCCCUAGAGUUUAUUGUAUGGGGAUAGAACCCGAUAGUUAUUCUCACACACUCAAUCUGAGCUACCCCUCUUAAGAAAAUAUCAAUUAAUACAUUUUAAAAUCCGAAGUGGACAGAAAAAAAAUUGGGAGAGGUAGUAAAUCACAAGCAAAUCCUUCUGAAAAUAUCAAAGAACAACAUCAAUUAACAACAUAAUAAUCAAGGAAAUUUUCUUAGACUCUUAUAAUAAUGUCACUGGUUCCCUUAUCCUAAGAUUUGCUGAAGAUUCAAAUGCACCAGCUCCAUAACUAGAACGACAAGAUGCAAUUUUUCUUUCCUUUUUGCUUUCUUGGAAUACAAUAUGAUGAGGUGAAACUUAGCAGAUGACACAGGCAUUAGGAUUCUCUUCCACACUAGUGUAAUAGUAAUGUGGCUGUCUCAUCAUCUGAUUCUGACAUGCUUCAUAUACCUUCGCAAUAUCAACCAUGUUCUGAUUAUGAUUCUGAUUCUGAUUCUGAUCGGUUUUCUUCUUCUGAUCCUCUGGCUUCUUUCUCUCUUCUUUCUUAGGAGGUUCCUUGGCUGGUCCAACAGAGAGUAUCUCAGUAUGACACAGCUUCCUCAGCUUACCCACCACUGCCACAGGGUCAAUGUCCCCAGUUAAGGUCAGUUUCUGCUCAUUCAUAUCCAUAGAGACUGACUCAAUCCCUGCAUAAAGCAUGUCAGUGUAUAUUUAGAAAUUUUUCUCCUAUUGAUUCUUAACUCAAAAUUCAUGUGGGGAGAGCUAGCAGCUUUUGAAUUUAAAAACUGAUUCUGAUGAAAGACAAGUUAACUCAAACAUGCUAUUUAUCAACUAUGUACAAAAUUACAAGGGGUUGAAAUUCCAUACCUGAAAUAUUAGAGACUUUCUUCAUAGCUUUUUUCUUAAUUUUGUCAUCGAGUAGUUCCACUUUUAGCACUACUUUCUGCCAGAGUGCAAAUAAGAUCGACGAGUGUUAGUUAGGACACUUGUAAUUUAAUCAAUCUAAUAAAGAAAAACACCAAUCUUCAAUUUGUUUUUCAAGAGACGAAAAGACAAGCCUAUGUUGAAAUUUUGACACGAGAUCUAAAGCUUUGAGUGUCAAAGAGUGCCAAAAAAUUAAAAUAAACAUAUAGAUUAUAUAGUUGAUCUAUGAUGAUGAAUGAAUGAUGAACCAUGCAUGGAGCUGGAACUGAAACAGAGCAAAACUAAAAUUAGAAGCUUUCACAAUAAAACUUGGAGGGGUGACAAAUUCUUACAUUCAUUGAUGUGACGCUGGUGAAAAAUAAGGGAAGUUUUGUUUUGGAAGUUCUGGUGUAUGGAAGUUCAGUUGGUUGAAGGUAUUUAAAGAGAAAAAUAAUAAAGCUACAGAGACUAGUGUGUGAGAUAGCGAGAUAGGAAGUCAACCCAAGUCUAUAAUUAUGAAAAAUAACAAUGAUAUAUUCACACCUCAUUUUUUAUACAUUUCAUUUUCACAUAUAUUAUUUCUAUUUUUCUUCUCUUAUUAUUUAUCGCAUCUUAUACUUUCUCUCUCUUACUUUUUCUUUUAUUCCUAACUCUCUCCUCUUUAAGAUGUGAAUGAACGAUUAUUCUUAUAAAAAAUGUUUAUAGGAAGGCUAGUGUUUUGUUUUUUUUUUGGUAAAUUCUUUUCUUUUUGGUAAAUGACUAGUGUUUUGUUUAUGUAUGAAACAAUCAAUCAAUCACGUGCGUUAAUACAUAAAAACCGUCAUAAAAAAUUUAAUAUAGAUUAAUUUCACAUAUUUCAAUAAUAUUGGAACUAAAAGCUAUAACAUCUUUUUAAGGAACCGAAUUCAAUUCAUAGGAAUUAAAAACAUGGUUAACCAUUUACUUGUUUAUUUUUGUCAAAGUGCCACAGCCAAAAUAAAAUUGAAGCUAGGUGUAAAGGGGUCUCGCAAUCAAGAGCGUGUUGACCUUUGUUGGUAAUGGAUUAAGUGUGUGUUUGGAUUUCCAUGUUAAAUUCAAUGUAGAUUCAUAUUGAAAAUAACCUGUUAAAAUUAUGCAUCUACAAUUUAUGUUAAAUUUAAUGUGACGAAUUUCAACUUCUUUGAAAUACGUGAAAUCAAAUUUACUACUACUAACCUCUCUAAGAGCAUCUUCAAUGGAGUCCUUAUUUUGGGACCUUAAAAUAAGAUCCGGAUCUUAUUAGAUCUCACCAUUAGAGCUAUCCUACAUGGCAUGAGAUCUUAGCAAAAGCUAAGAUCCGUGCCUUAGCUCAGGUACUCUCAAAUGUGAGAUCUUAAAUAAAAUAAUAUUUUUUUUCUCUCCUUCAAUACCAUAAUCAAAGUGAAAAUUAGGGAGGAAAAUAAAUAAUAUAAAAUAUAUUGAGUACUGUGGGCUCAGACAAAAGUAAAAUAAGAUAUCAACCAUUAGAGUAAAAUGUGUAUGAAGACCUUAUGAGUGUCUUAAAUCCUAUGUGGCAAUUUGGGCCCACAAAAAUUGAGUUAAGUCCCAAAAUAAGUUUAUACCAUUGGAGAUGCUCUAACAAGCUUCUAUGCUCUUUGAUUUUAAUAUAUUAUCCAUUUAAAAAAAAAACCCUCUAACAAUAAACAAAGAUAGACUAAGUGAUUUAAUGCUGCACAAGAAAGUGCAAUAACAACAUACGAAGAGGAACAAAAGAAACACACUUUAGCCAACCAACAAAGAAAGAAAAACAGAAUUGACAAGAAAAGGCUAGCAAAGGAACCCCCUGGAGAUGGUUAUGGCCCAUCACAAUUAAGUGGGCCCAGCAGAAAAUAUCUAUUUGAUAUCUGAGGCCCGUACUCAUAGCUUUUGGUCCCACUAAUCACCUCAUGACGGAAGGGAGAAUCUUGGGCCGAUGGGUUUCAGGCACAAACCCUCCUUAACACGUAAGUAACGCCUUCCCGUGUCGUUUUUGUUCAGCAACCGACUCUUUCCUAUGUCCUUCAUACUUCACAGUUUUCAAUUAUUCUAUAACUAUUUUGUGGACCUUGGACUUCCUUUAAAUAAAAAAUAUUGGUGAGAAAAAGUUGAAGUGAAGUUAUAUCUGAAAAUAUCGUAUGAAAAUAUCUAUGUUUAUAGUGCAACCUUAUUUUAAUAAUCUAAAUGUGAUAAAAUAUCUUAAUUUGUCACAUUUUAUAUUCCCAAUCAAUUUUGUUAGCUUUAUUAUUUUUUCUUUUGUUAGCUUUAAUAAAACAUGAAAAACAAGAUAAUAUCUAAAUUAACAUGGGUGCUUCAAUGGGGAUAAAUUUACCCAUUAGUGUGUUAAAUCUUUCUAAUGAUUAUUCAGCAAUUUAAACUUAAAUUAUUAUUCUUAUUAAGAAUUUAAUUUGUCUAUUACUAAACUAACGCAUCGAGCAUGUUUAGGCUGUGUUACUUGUGGUAUGAAAAAAAUCAUAUUUGCACAAUUUUCUUUUUAUCCUUUUACAUGAUUGGAAGUUCACAUGGCACUAGCAGGAAUUGUAUCCCUUGGAGGAAAUGUGACAAGGCAUAUGUUGUAAAGAUAUGUGCUUUUGACUUUGGAGAUAUUUUGUUCAAAAUGCAGUAAAAAAUGGAGUGGUAAUUAACAAUAUGAUAUUGAUUAUUUUGUUUAUCUUAACGACUUUAUUCAUUAUCUAAAAUUUCUAAUUUGUCCAUGCAUGAUGUGUAAAAAAAUAUGGAAUAUCCAUUAUAAAUUGAAUUGCAAUUAAUAGAAAUAUUUAUCUCAAACAAGUUUCACUUAAAGCAAAAAGGUAUAAAAGAAGAAAAACAUUUUUCACAAUUGAAACCAACUAACUCUCAUGCUUGUACUUGUAAGAAAAUCAACAUUCCAAUAAGUAAAAUCAUUUAGAGCAAAAGUUGGGUCACUUUUUCCAUGAUACAUUGCCUCCAUCUCCAUCCUUGUAUUGUAUAUAUAAAAAAAAAGACAUUAGAAAAUAGUUAGAAGGAAGAACACCAAGCUUUAUUAAAACGCAAACCUAGGAAAAUAAAAACACUUGAUUUGUCAAAUGUUAUGGCCAGCAAGGAUUGGCAGUUGUAAAUACUACUUUAGAUUCUGCAGUUAAAGCCAUUUUCUUUCUCUUUGAAACCCCACGAAAAUGGUGUCAGAAAACCCGAAUGCUUCAGAGGCUAUAUACUUGGAACCCUUAGCAGAUUCGGUGGAGGACCCUGCCAAGAAGACACGCAAACCAUUCACCAUCACCAAGUCUAGAGAGAACUGGACCGAACCUGAGCAUGAUAAGUUCCUUGAAGCUCUUCAACUGUAAGAAAAUGAAAAGUUUUCCUUUUUUUUCAUCUUCUUCUUCUUAUUUUGUUCUCAGAAUGUAGUGUGUGAAUUUUGAAGUUCAACUGAGACAUGGGUUUUAGUGGUACCCUUGUGUGUGUGUGUGUGUCACUGUUUGAGUCAUGGUUUCAGGAAGCUACUUAUGGAGAAUUUUCACAAUUGUUUGUCAAGGACUGAGAUUUUGGUAUUUCAGAUUGGUUUGGCAGGGGAAGAAUAAAAGAUGUUAGGAAUGGUCAAUGGGGAGGGUAGAGUUUUAUUACUACUGUUAUCAACUUAUCAUUGUUAUUUGGUGAUUGUUGUCAAAAUACACUAUGUGAAUCAGUGAAUGUGAUCAAUUCAUUCUUUUUGGGGGGGCUUCUUAUAAUGGUUGAACUUAGUUUACUAUUCCUAAAUGGAAUUUGCCAUUUCAAAUUUAAGCAAUUUGUUUGUUUUUCCUUUUUCCUGGUCUUGGUGUAACCAUUUAGCAUCAACUCAUUGUUUUUUUUCUUUCAUUUUGGAUCCAGAUUUGACCGUGACUGGAAAAAGAUUGAAGCUUUUGUUGGAUCAAAAACAGUUAUCCAGGUAAUUUCAAGUGCAAUCGUUGAUUAGAAAUUGUCAUAAGCUGUUACUUCUGGGUACCAUUGGCCAUAAAUAUUUUGGAUUGCAUUAGUUAUCUUAUAAUUUAUGGAAUCAGAAUGUGAAUAUUGGUUAUGUUACAUUAAGGAUUUCAUCCCUUGCCAGAUAAAGUGUUGGAUGCUGGAAAUGAAAUGCCAAAAAAGGAUAUUUCCCUUUCUCUCCCUGCCUCCAUUGCUAAUUGGACUGAUUUCUUGAAAACCCUGAUACAUAUGACUUUUCCUUUUGUUUGGUGGGACUAAAAUUGUGAAACCUGAUAGUCAUAUUCAUAUACCAACUUGCUUUUCUUUUGAGGAAAGUUCCAAUAGCAUUCAUUUAAGAUUAACUUAAGCUAUUAUGCGGGUUCCAUGUGCUUGUUAUACAAGGAUCAAAUCAUGCUGUGACUUUUAAGUAAAGAAAGUUGAGGACAAAGAAAGCAUUAAGCUUUUCAUAUUUUAAAUUGUGGACUAAGCACAGGCUCAUCAAGCCUCAUGCUGAAAUGCAAUUUAGUUUAGAAGAAUAGAGAUUAUAAGGAUUAAACUCAUGAAUAUUUAGUCACAAAAGUUUUUGUACCAAGUCAAAGAACCAACUAUCCUUGGUGUUUACUGUUUAAUAUGUUAGUUGUAGCUUUGGGAAUGUAUUUAUCGUCUAACAAGAAUGAUGCAAAUUUUCUUAAAUGGGAUACCAUCAUUGACUAACAUGAAAAGCAGACUUCUUUUAUGUUGUUAAAAGAAAGAAACAGUUUCAUUGGGGAAUAUUUUAGAAUAUCUUUUAAAUGUCUGUUAGUUGAGUGCUUACAGCUUAAUGGAUUCAAAGAUGUCAGUGCAUAUGACAGUUGGGAGUUGUUAGGAUUUCUAUUACUUUUUCAUGUGCUUCAAUGUUUAAUGGAUGCCUCAAGUACCCAUAAGAAUGACUGCUGAUUUUGUAGAUACGUAGCCAUGCACAGAAAUAUUUUCUUAAAGCUCAGAAGAGUGGGAAAAGUGAACAUCUUCCUCCACCCAGACCAAAACGAAAAGCGGCUCAUCCAUAUCCUCAGAAAGCUUCCAAAAACGGUUACAAUCUUCACCAUAUUUUGUUUACAACAUAUUUUAGAUUAAUUGUAUCUAAUGAUUGUAAGUGAUAUUUGACAGUUCCAGUACUCUCGCAUGUUUUAGGAUCCUCUCAAUCUUCAUCUGCUUUGCUUGAACCUGGAUCCAUCCCCAAGCAUGAAUCUUCGCCAAUUCUUAAAACUCCUAUACUUAACACUUCAGUUUCUUCCGGGUCAAACAACACUUUGCAGACAACAGCCAAUGUAUUACAUGGUACUGAAAAUUUAGAUUUUAUAAUCCUGGAAUAUAUUUAUGGAACUUGUUUGGAUAGUUUUCGUAUGAUACCAACUAGUUUGUUGUGUUUAAAUAUUGUGUGUUUUAGGUCAAAAAGUGAAUAAUUGUUGCAGCAGCAAUGAAAGCACUCCUAGAGCACGCGUGGUUGGUGAAUCUAAUGGUCAAGGAAAUAAUAACCAUCCAUUGAAAGGCAAGGGUUUAAUGAUUUUCCUUUCUAAUUUCAGUGCUGUCAUCUUUGAUUGUUACAUUAAAUUUGAUGUGUGCAUGACAAGGUUAUGGAGUGUUGUUGUAAGCAUAAUUUGUGCACAACUGCAUAUUUCAGCAAUUAUGUUAUUGCUUUAUAGUGUAUUCCUGUUUUAUUAUCAAGAAUAUAACUGUGUUGGGUCCAAAGUAAGUAUGGAGUCUCUUAAUUUCCAAUCCCCUUCUUGGACAUGAAUCUUGAUUAUCAUCAUCUGAGUCGCCAAAAUAUUCAUUUGAUAUUUCCUUGAUGGUACCUUCAAUUUAUGAAAUUUGAUACGCUUUCGUAUCUUGAACAUUUUGUUAUUUUAAUGUGUACUCAACAUGUGGAAGUGAUGUCUGUCCUGUUUUUCUUGUUCUGCGACUCAUUUCUUAUGAGAAUACCCAGAAAGCUGUCUUAUCCUCAUAGGAGUUUUACAAACUCCCACCUACUCAUGUCAAUAUAGCUACAUACAUUCGAAGUUAUGUGCACAUUUCUGCAAUAAUUUUCUUUUCAUAGAAUUUACGCAUAUGAUUUUUGUAUCUUUUUUAGUAUUUAUUGUUGUCUCACUGUUUUCCAAUGUCAAUUUAAUUUUCCCCUCAUUUGUAAUGCAGUUCUUCCUGAUUUCACUCAAGUAUACAGAUUCAUUGGCAGUGUAUUUGACGCAAAUGUAACUGGGCAUCUACAGAAACUUAAAAAGAUGGACCCUUUAGAUGUUGAGACGGUAUGUGUUUGUGUGAUUUCUUGCUUUGAACUCCCUUAAGACAUUAAAGCAUUAUUUCUUGCUUUGAAUACCUGUGUUAAUUUGUGUCAACUAGUACAAUUCAGAAGUUCUGAGACAUUUCUUCUUUUUAUGACCUUGAAUAUUUUUAGGUGCUGCUGUUGAUGAGAAACCUGUCUAUCAAUUUAACAAGUCCAGGUUUCGAGGAUCACGUAAGUAUUCAUGCCACUGAUCUUUGGAUUACUUAAUGCAUGAACCUCACCACUAUUUUGACCCAACAUCAAAUUUUCUCUUUAAAAGAACUUGUUUAAGGAUCCUUACUCCUUAGCUUUAGAAGGCCGUCCCUAUAUAUUCCUCAUCUUUUGAAAACUGUCCAUCUCCGACAAAAGCAUCUUAUGCAGAUUGGAAAUUUCAUCUUCAUAGAAACUUGAAUGACUAAAUUAGACAUCAAAUUGCAUGACCAAUGAAAGAAGGAACAAUAAUAAAUUUCAUUUAUAUGUGAACCGGUUGUAAUUCAUGCAGAGAAGGCUGCUCGCGUCAUAUGAGGUGGAACCCGAGAUAGAUAAUUAUAUCAAUGUAGAUCAAGCCAUGCAUGAUGAGCAGUUGAAGAGUGCUACUUAGAUGGAGGGGAGGUUGAAUAUAAAAUUGGCUGUUUUUCAUGCAUUUCUGCAUGAUGAGGUAAGAUGCCUCGGCAAGAAAACAAGCUGAGAUUCCAGCAACAGUCUUAUGAUCCUGCUCUAAUUAGUGGCUUAUGUUGCUCAUCGAUCAUCUCAGCUUAACAAGGCUUUUGAUUCCCACAAUUCGAUUCGGUGAUGUAUAUAUUAAUGAAACAUAUUAUAGAAGAAAAUAAUAAUGCUGGACUCUAUAGAUUUCAUAUUUUUGUAAUAUCCGAGACAGUACUAGCAAGUUGAUGACUUUGUAAACAAUAUAUACGUUUGUUUGCCUUAGGAAGGGAAUGCAAUUUCAAAAAGGAUGUAAAAUACUUCAUAUUAAUGUAGUGUUUAUUCUAUUUAAUUGUGUUUCUAUUAUUUGAUAAAAAUUGUUAUUAGAUUACGGAAUUUGGCUCUAAAAUAUAAUUUUUUACUAUAACUCAUUAUGUUGUAGUAUAUAGUUCUUCUACUAAAACUAUAACAUGUAAACAGUAUAUACGUUUGUUUGUCUUAUUCUGAAAUUUGUUGAGAAAAUAAUAAGGAACGGAAACUAAUAGCAAUGUUUACAGUGUAUAACACAGCAAUAUCAAAAAAAGUCUCUGCAAUUCAACAUUUCACGUCCUUGUUGGAAAAAGUAGUAUGCACCAAAUCUUUUGUCAACUGUUAGCCUUUACUGUGUGUCAUAGUAUGAAGUUUCAGGACAUGAAAUUUCCAUGUAUCUAGGAGAGAUCUAUUUAGUAUUUACACAACUUCAUUACUGUUUCAACAAAAGUAUGAGAAAUCUGUGCAGACAAUUGUGAUCUUUUUAGACUUUUUCAGACCAAUAUUCCAUCUACAUCCCAACAAUUGCUGGCAGUGGUUCAAAGUCUGCUACUGAAAACCUCCAACAUAAGGGUUCCAGUUCCUUGCGCUAUCACCAUGAAGAUCUAACAAUGAGUAGUUGACAAGAUCUAACAAAAUCAGUAACUAAAACACCACAUAAAUUUCAUUUCUAAAAUGACUCAUAAAAAACAUUUGACAAGUGAUUUCUUACCAAGACUCGGUGGUCUUAUGAAACCUCCAUAGCUCGAUUCAUGAUAUCCUAAGCAACCCUGCAUUGAGUUUAGCUUUUGGGUGCAACAAGUCAUGCGAGAUGCAGGCAGGUGUGGUGGAACUGGAACACCAGUUUGUGGUUCACACAAUGAGCUGAGAUUAAGUUUGCUUGGAUUUAUCAUCUGCUGGAAUUUCGAUUGACCGACUUCAUGAUCAAACCUUCUCAUGUCAUCUUGGGAAAGAAGGAAAGGUGGAGAAAUUGAGUUGGAUGGGAAAGGGUGGGAAAACAGAGAAAAUGUGGGGGAACCAAUGAAGUUUUCUUGAAAACUGUUAUGACUUUGUUGACCCCUUCUUGGAUUCAACUGAUUAGAACAGAGCUGAGGGUAAGGUUGCUGUGCAUGCACAGGGGGGUAAAAGCCCGUUCCAGCUCCAUGAUGCACUAUAGGAUCAUCAAAAUGUGGUGCAGGAGUACUGUCAUCAUCAUUGAGUAUGGACUCCACUAGCUUUUCGAUCAUCUCAUGAGGUGAUCUUGGACUGAACCCAUCAGCUUUAUUUGGACUUGUUUCAGGGUUAGACAUGAAAUUAUCACCCACAGCCGAAUUUCCCACCUCUGGCAACAAGAAUGAUCCAUCAAAUGCAAUUAAACUGUCCUCAUCAGGCCAGCAAAUUUCAGAGCUAGAAUUUGAUUCUCCAUCUAAGCUGUUGCAGGAAGAAUUUAACUCCAACUCCUCCUGAGAUUGGAGAUCAGGGUUGCAUCGAUCUUGCUUCGGGAUGACUGGAAUUGCUUGCUUGACAUCUUGCAAAGACAAAUUACUUAAUUGCAACUCCACGGUACCUUGCUCAUAUGCCACUCGACAAAGGUUUUUCUUGAAAUUUCCGCAAUUCUCUUGGUUAUGGAAGCUUGUUGGUCUACUUUUCUUUAGAGAUUCCAUAACUUGGCAAGUUCCUAUUGGAUAUUCCACAUCAAAGUUUGAACAUUCUUCAGACUUCAUUAGGUGAUCAGUAUCCAACGCUGAAAGAUGACAAUAUGUGUUUAUAUGGUUUCCAGACGACUGCCAUGGAUUUACUAUUUUAUCAGUAGUUAAAUCUUGCUGCCUUUGUGUAGAACAACUUUUAGUCAUCUCCGGCAAGGUGGAUGGAUGAACAGAAUUGCCUCUUACAGCUCCUUCAAUCAGACUUAGUUUCGAUGAAGCAUCUAAUUGCUCAUUGAUCAUAAGAUUGGAAAUAAACUGCAAGAUAUUUGAAUUUCUUGUUGCUGGUGUCAUCAGAAAUUCCUCUGAACGAUCCUUCGAAUCUAUGUUUUGUAUAGAAUUCCCCUUGCCCUCCUCCACUUCCCUGACUAUAUCUGCACAUGAUUUCUCUUAAUGUAAUGUUAAAUACUAAAAUUUAUACCUUCCAUUUCUUUAACAUUCUUUAAUGGUUUGUUUUUUUAUCAGCUCAAAGAAGCUGAACAGAAUUGGCUAGUCAUGUUAUAAUAGGAAAAACUAUAUAAUAACCUUGUGGUUGACAAAUUGAAGGCCUAAGAAGACAAUAAAGAAUUGAAAAGAGAUUUGACCUUUUCUCCAACUUUCCCGUUCUGUUUUCUCUUGAAUUGUUCCCUCAGAAGAUACAGAUGUGUCACCGUUAAGCAAGACAUUGCUGUCUCUAGGUGGAGGUAGUGCCUGAAAGAACAGAAUAUUAUGAAACAAAAUUUUGCAUGCCUAAGUCUACCUUCCUUUAUGAAAACCAUAUUUGUAGACAGACCUUGUAACGACAUGGAGGCCGAUACGGUUCAAUAGUCCUAUGGAGCUGAUGAUUAGCACUGUCUACAUCUAUAACCCUUGGAGAAAUUUUCUGAGGCAUGAUUUUCUGAAGUCCUGAGUCUGUGUUUCAAAGCACAAAUUUCUUAAGUUAAUUUUAUCAUAAUCCACAACAUGCAAUGAUGAUCCACACAAUACACAUUAAUGACAAGAAGAUUAUCAAGCAACAGAUUUUUCAAUAGAAUUUGAAAAUCAAACAUUACACACCUGAAACACAAGUAGGCACAGAUAGAAUUCCAGGUGAAUCUUGAAACACACUGUUCAAGAAACAGGCACAAAUUAAACAACCUACACAAAACAGCAGAACAAUACGCAUGGAAUCUUAUAAAAUAACAAUGUAGUAGAGUUUUCCUAACCAUGAAAUUGAGAGCUGAACCUCCUUCGGUAAUUUCACCGCAUUAGGACAAUCUGCUUUUGAUAAAGAGAGAAGAAACUCUCUCGAGUACGAAAUUUUCGAUCGCCUGAAAAUACCAAAUCAAAAGGUUCUUGAAUCACAAAUUCACAAUCACAUUGAAACAGAACAUCACAUGAAGCCAAAUUCAUCACAUUUGGCAACAGAGUGAAUCCUCACCAAGCUAAAGCCUCAACUCAUGUAAAAAUCAUCAAAAAUUCAAGUAUUCAACAGCGUUCAAACAAUUUUCAAAUCAUAAUUAGGGGGAAAACGUUACACGAUAGUGUAGUUGACUAAACAAAGAUUCACCGUAACAAGAAAUUACUACAGUGAAUCUUCACCAAGCUAAAGCCUCAAUUCCAAUAUUCUACUGCAUUCAAACGAUUUUCACAUCUAAUUGACUAGUUUCUCAGCCGCCAAACAGAAACAAAGAUUCACCGUAACAAGAAUCAAACAAUAAGAAACUACACUAGUUCAUGAAACCGCACUAGCCUAAAACAUGCAUUAACAGUAACAAUCAAACUCAAAAUUCAAUGAAUCAAAGCUUACUUGUUAGAAUCUUGAGACGGUGGAGCAAAGACAUUCGCGGUUCCAUUUUCCUGGCUCAUUUUCUCGAGAAAAUCCUCCGUCAAAUUUAGCGUUGACUACUCACAGUGUUUGAAUUUCUCCAAGAAACACCAGAACAGAACACAUGAACCGAACCUUACAACAAUGCUGCUAGAAGAAUCGAGAAGAAACUCGAAAACCUAGAAGAUCAAAUGCAAGAAAAUUACUCAGGAAACAGAGAGAAAUAGCAACGAAAAUAGCGACGAUGAGAAGAAGAAGUGAAGAACAGCACCUUGAGGGGUUCGAUACGGUGGCGGUGACGGUGGUGGAGUAGAGGUAAUAUCCAGAGGGAGAAACAUUUUCCGAGCGAGAAGUUUUCUCGGGAAACAGAGAGAAAAUGGGAGAGAAAAUGGAAAAGGCUUGCAGAGGAAGUUACAGAGAAAGUGAGAGACUGUGAGUGUUUCUAUUUGUAGAAUUUUGAUGGCAACGCGACGCAUUUAUUUACUCUCAGCUAGCAUAGCACACUGACACUAGUUGCUACAGGCUCACGUAUUUAGCAUGGCACAGAUUAAAAUAUUAAAUAUUUUUAUUUCUAUUUUUGUGUUUAGUUUGAUACUCUGAUUCAGCUUUUUAAUAAAGUGUGAUAUUCUCAUACCAUUGCCUAGUUAAACUAUUUUUGAAUAGUGUUGAUAUGGAUUUUUAGCUAUUUGUUUUUUUAGCCCUCUCAAAAUUUGUUUAUUUAAGUAAAGUACAUUUUAUGCUAAAAGACAUGUAAUGAUACCGAUUUAGAUUUGGUAAUAGUUUUUUGUGUUUCAUUUCAACAAGUUCAGCUACUUAAUGUAUGAUUUUGGAGGAAAAGUUUUGUUUACACUAAUGUGGAAAUAGAGGGGAGAGAAAGGAAAAAAGAGAGAAAUUUAUUCAUUUUUUGUUACGGGAAAUUGGGAGAGUAAAAGAGGGUAAGAAAAAACAGUGACUCUUUUUCAGUGGUCUGUCUAAUUUGAAGAUAAAGUCUAUAUUUUGUUUUUUUUUUUACGGUCAGAUAAAGUUAAUUUGAAGAUAAAGUGAGACCGUGUGUGAUUUUUGUCUACUUGCUUACUUUUGUUAGGGGAGGGUAAGAUCCGGAAGAAAAAAAGCUUCACAUUUUUUGCAAUUCAUACUUCAACUACACUUGCAUAAGAUAGAGAAAGAAAAAAAAUAUGACAAAUGGUGUGAUAUGAAAAAGAAAAGAUAUAUAUAUAUAUAUAUCAAGAAAAAUAAAUAAAAAUGAGACGAAACUGAAAAAAAUAAAUUAAUGAAUCAAAAUCUAAUUGUGAUCACCCUAAUUUGAAGAUAAAAGUGUAUGUAUUCUUUUUAUCCAUUUUCUUAUUUUAUCACUUAAUUAAUGUCAUGCUGAUAAACAUUAUAUGAAGAAUGGUAGCAAAACUUUUUUUCUAACACUCUUUUCAACAUUCUUUUUACUUAAUCGGUUGAAAUUCAUGGGAGUCACAUUAAAUUGGCUAAGAGACUUAUUUUUAGAGUGACUGGAUUUAACUAAAUUAAAACAUUACCAUAACUAGAGGGUUUGCGGAGUAAGACGCUUGGGCUGUGUGACAUGGGAUGUCCAUAGCACUUGGUUUAUUGGUGUUUUCGUGAGUUUUGGGCUUGAAAAUGCUUAUGGGCUGAGCUUUUGGCAGUGGAAGUAGGAUUGCAUCAUGCAUGGAAGCUUGGUUACAAAGAUAUUUAUCAUGUAUGAGACUGCAUUGAUGUUGUGUGAAAAUCCUUCCUAACAGAAAUGAUAAUUCAAACAUAUUGGGUGAGGGAAAGCAUCACUAAAAUUAGAUUCAUGCUUUCUUUGGCUCGGAAUGUGGAGGUUGAUUAUAUCCCAUGUGAGAAAAAUAAUAUUGUAGGUUUUCUAGCCCAUCGAGCUUUUAGGAAGAAGGGUACUCCUCUUUUAAUUUGGCAGAGCCCAUCUUUUAAUGUUAUUUGUGUAUGUGCGCUCUAGUGUACUUUAUUUUUGUUGUAGUUUCCCUCUUGUAAGAAAAAUAAUAAACAAUCAAAUUCAGUAAUAAGAGAUUUUAAGAAAAAACCAUAAUUAACACUGCUACUUUCAUCAUAAAACCACAUGUUAAAUCUACUAUUAGUUUAUCAUGUCCCGUCGAGUUUGGUGGUGAAACUAGUGACAAAAGGAUUUCUUACUUCUUUGCAGCCUUCUGAUUUUGAGCUGGUUGAAGUGGAACAAAAGUUCAUUCUCAAAUUGUCUUUGUUUGUUUAUUCUGUUAGAUAUGAAAAGUUCAACGAAUCUGGUUUGUUUGGGUCUUCUUUGUACAAUGAGCACUAACUGAUAACUACACACGCUUUAUAUCAUGGUUUGGUUCUGAAAAUGAACAUCAAUAAAAUAAAUUGAAAAGGAGAGGGAAUUUGGAUGGAAGACAUACACAGAUCAGCUUCAUUGAUGUUUGUUCUAGUAGUACAAAAUCAGCUUAGGCUCAUCAUAACACAUUUUGACAACACAAAACUAUAAACCAAAGACCAAGAAAGAAUAUAACACACUAAACUUUGUAGACAGACUUUCAGACACAAUGCAUCUGCCACCAUACUUACAUGAUAUAUGAUAUAUCCUUAGUCAACUUCCUCCAUCUUACUCUCCUCAGCACCAUCCUCCUCCAGUGGAGGCAUAUCUUCAUCUCCACCAGUCUCCUCCUCAUCAAUGCUAAGACCAAGCUUCAACAUCCUGUGAAUUCUAGCAGCAAAUGUGUUUGGAUCAUCAAGGCUGAAACCAGAAGUCAAGAGUGCAGUCUCAAAGAGAAGCAACACCAAAUCCUUCACUGAUUUAUCAUUUUUAUCAGCUUCAGCCCUCUUCCUCAGCUCCUCCAUGAUCCCAUUAUCCGGGUUAAUCUCCAUGGUCUUCUUGCUCGACAUGUAGCUGCUCAUGCUGCUAUCCCUCAACGCCUGAGCCUUCAUGAUCCUCUCCAUGUUCGCAGUCCAUCCGUAUUCCCCUGUCACCAAACAGCAGGGUGAAUCCACAAUCCUGUCAGAGACAACCACUUUCUCAACUCUGUCUCCCAAGAUGUCCUUCAUUGUCCUGCAAAGAUCCUCAAAUGACUUCUUCUUUUCCUCUUUCUUCUUCUUCUCUUCCUCGCUUUCAUCAUCCAAUUUCAAUCCCUCCUUAGUAGCAGAAACCAACUUCUUCCCAUCAUACUCUUUCAAUUGCCCAACAGCAUACUCAUCAAUUGCAUCCACCAUGAACAGCACCUCAUACCCCUUCUUUUUCAGCCUCUCCAAGAAUGGUGAAUUCUCCACAGCCUUCUUGCUCUCUCCUGUGAUAUAGUAAAUGUCCUUCUGCCCCUCCUUCAUUCUGGUAACAUAGUCCUUGAGACUAGUCAACUCAUCUCCACUCUUUGUAGAAUAGUAUCUCAGCAAAUCAGCCAAUUUAGCCCUGUUCUGACUAUCUUCAUGGAUACCCAGCUUCAAGUUCUUGGAGAAAGCAUCAUAGAAUUUGUUGUAAUCCUCUUUAUUCUCCGCGAUCUCGUUGAACAUCUCAAUGCAUUUCUUCACAAGAUUCUUCCUGAUCACCUUCAAGAUCUUGUUCUGCUGCAGCAUCUCCCUGGAAAUGUUGAGUGGCAAGUCAUCAGAGUCAACCACACCCUUGACAAACCCAAGAUACUCAGGAAUCAGCUCCUCACAAUUGUCCAUGAUGAACACCCUCCUCACAUAAAGCUUGAUGUUGUUCAUCUUCUUUCUUGUGUCAAACAGAUCAAAAGGUGCCCUUUUGGGAACAAAUAGAAUGGCCUUGAACUCAAGCUGACCCUCCACUGAGAAAUGCUUGACAGCCAAGUGGUCUUCCCAGUCAUUGGUGAGGCUCUUGUAGAAGGAAGCAUACUCAUCCUUGGUAAUCUCCUCUGGCUUUCGCAGCCAGAUUGGUUUCUGCUUGUUGAUGAGUUCCCACUCAUGAGAAACCUCCUUAAUCUUCUUCUUCUUAGAAUCCUUCUCCUUCUCUUCAUCAACAUCCUCAACUUCUCCUUCCUUCUCCUUCUUGGACUCAUCAUCCUCCUCAUCAUCACUGAUCUCCUUCUCAGUUGUCUUCUCAGUCCAGAGGUAAAUUGGAUAGCUAAUGAAUUCAGAGUGCUUCUUCACAAGAUCCUUAAUCCUUCUCUCCUCCAAAUACUCCAACUGUUGCACAAACAAGACUCAACCAAUUAACAAUUUGACUAAAACAAACACCCAAAAGAAAAAGAAAAAACAAUCGUAGUUAAAACUUCAAUUUCUUUACCUGAUCCUCCUUGAGGAACAAGGUAAUCUUAGUUCCUCUUCCUAAUUGUUCACCAUUCACAUCCCUGAUCACAGUGAAGGAUCCACCAGCCUGUGAUUCCCAAAUGUACUGUUCAUCGUCAUUGUGCUUGGUGGUCACAAUGACCUUCUCAGCAACAAGGUAAGCAGAGUAGAAACCAACGCCCAAUUUGCCCAUCAUGCUAACAUCAGCCCCCGCCUGUAACGCUUCCAUGAAUUCCUUCGUCCCAGACCUCGCAAUGGUUCCCAAAUUGUUCACCAAAUCUGAAACCAAACCACACCACAUAAACACACACAAUAAGAAGCAUAGCACAGCACAUUUAAUCAAAUUCUCACAAUAAAACCAUUGUUUCAAAUUGCGGCCGCAACAUAAUAUAUUUCAGGGUCACACCCAGUUGCGGCCGCAUCAACCUGCAUUUGUCUACAAUUCCGCGACAACUGCAACCGCGAUCGCAACCUCAAUUUAAAUAAAACGGAUAAAGAGGUACAUUACAACUACGUACCUGCUUUGGUCAUGCCAACGCCACUGUCAAUGAUGGAGAGAGUCUUGUUAGCCUUGUCAGGAACGAGUCUAAUGAAAAGCUCUGGUUGAGCAUCAAGCUUCGUCUUAUCGGUGAGUCUCUCAAAUCGAAUUUUAUCCAGAGCCUAAAUGUAACAAACACACAAAUCAAAUUGAGUGAUUAACGAAACGAAGGAAAGUAAAAUGUUAAUGGUGGUGGUGGAAGGAGGAGAGGCUUACGUCGGAGGCAUUACUGAUGAGUUCACGGAGGAAAAUCUCCUUGUUGCUGUAGAAGGUGUUGAUGAUGAGGCUGAGGAGUUGGUUGAUCUCAGCCUGGAAUGCGAAGGUCUCGGCGUCACGCAUUUGAACAUCUGCCAUUACGAAAUUAAUGUGGGAAUCUAACUCCGCACUUGGAACACCAAAAUAUGUGAGCUUAGAAAGCUAGCGAUGUUAUUUGUUGAGAGAAGGGAGAUGAAGAAGGGGAUUUAAAUAGCAUUAAGCAGAAGCGAAUGUUAAUGAAAUAGAGAGCUCUGGAUUCUUCUACCAUGCUCUUGAAUUUUCAUCUUUGGCGCGAGUUUGACGUUUGUUCUAGAGUGGGCUAGUUACAUCGUUUUUAGUUUUUGGUCAGUACAAUUAAAAUUAAUCUAUUUUAUUUUUAUUUCUUAAUUUCACUUUUAUUCCUAAAAACACGUUGUUUUAAAAUAAAACAUUAUUUUUGUUUAUAAAUUAUUUUUAUGUGUAUAGGAAGUUAGGAACAAUAAAUAAAUAAAUAUAUUCACAAAAUUUGAAAGAUAAAAUAGAAAAAUAAUUUUAGUGUCAAUAAGUUAUAUUUCGCAUUGUCUAUGUAGUUAUUAUGAAGAGAAUUCAAGAAUCAAGGCUCAAAGUGGGGGAGAACUGUGUGAUGUUUGAUUUUUUUUUUCUUUCUUUUAAAAUCUAUCUUCCGAGCAAAAAUAUUGCAUAUUUCUCUUUUGGGUUGGGCCUACACUACCAAGAGACCACAAGUUGAUAAUGGAUUUUUCUACAAUGUCAUACUUAUUCAUAUAGUAGGGAAUUGAUUUUAUUCGAUGCAAAACUUAUCCAUUAGAGGGAGGGAAGGUAAUACUGCAUUCAAUGAGAAGCAAAGUCUUUUGUGUUGACUCCCCCUGACAUACUCCAUGAAUCCAUGAUGUUCAAAAAAUGUUCAAUUAGGGUUUAUUAAUUUUAGAUAGAAACUUUGAAAAAUAGUCAAAUUAGUCUGAAUUUAUAAGCGAGUUUGAUUUUAGUCCCACGAACAAAAUAUGAUGUAUAGUGACGGUCAUUUUUAUAAUUACUGACGGCUCUUGACCACCACUAAACAUCAUCUUUGCAAUGAUUGACUAAAAUCAAACUCACUUACAAAAGGUUUAAUUUGACAUUAACCCUUUUUAAAACAUAAUUACAUAUUUUUUUACGAAACCGACAUUUUAUUAGGUAUGAAAGCGAGGAAGGGAUUAUAGUUGUAUGAUAAACAAAUAUUCAAUACUUCAGUUAAAUCUAAAGACCAUAAUGAACAAAUUUCUUAUGACUUAAUAAUAUCUACUUGUACUUUAAAUAAAUUUUGAACUAAUAUUGCAGAGUUCUCAAUAAAGAGAAACUCUUUCAAAAAUAGGCGUAUGCCGUUUGAAGAGCCAUGCACACGGUAUUCUUUAGUAAAAGGCGAAAGAAUAGUUCGCUUUGUGCAUAACUCACGGCUGCGUGUUUAAAACAAUUAAAACUCGUUCAAUUUAUAGGACAAGCAGCUUACAACUACUUAUAAACAACCGAUGUGGGCUUUGGUCAGUAGCAUAGCACAUAACUCAGCAGCUUUGGCUUUCCCCAAUUCUCGAGUCUUGCUACCCUCCUCUCAUCCACUCAAUGCUCACUCUCUCUUUUUCAUGAAGCUUCCUCCCAUAGAGAAAGACCAAAACCUCUGCCUGGUUUACAGGUUCCAUAUCAAUGAUUUAGAGUUUACAAGCUGUUGUUGCCAAAUGAUUUCACCCUUCUUUAAGGACUGGUGGAAUUCAUUUUUAACGAUUACUACAUUAAAAGGUCACUUAUUUUUAUUGUUGUGUGUACCUGAGAAUUAGCUAGAUUUACCUGUUAGAAUUCAAAAUCACUAGUACUUCCUACAUUUCAUUAAAAAUCAAUAUGAACAAGCAUUGCCACAAAUUGACAUUAUACACAGUUAAUAACUUGACAUAUUGAAAAUUGCAACAAAUUGACAUUACACGGUUUUUGAACUUGAGUUUGUAAAUGCUGAGAAAUGAGAAUGGAUUUUCUUUGACGUGAGACUUUAGAGGGAAUGGAAUUUACAGUUGCCAAAUAAUCCUCCUUUUGUUGCCAUGAUAUUUUGCUGGAAUUGUAGAACUAUAGUAUUGGAUUUGGUAGGUUGAUUGAAGAACCUUGCUAAAGUUCACAAUGCUUAUAUUGGUGGAAAAUCAUGCCAGGAGAGUUUCAAGCAAAUUGAGACAUGAUAGCUUUGAAAUUGUAGAUUCCCAGGGGCAAGCUGGAGGUAUUUGCUGAAUUCUUUUGUUUGGAAUGCUGUUAGAGCUGCCUCUUCUCAGCUUCUUGACAUCUAAUUGCUGUGUAUGGGAAUCCUAACUUUGUUACUAGAAGAGUUGUGGGCCUCACUUGGAGCUGUUGCAUAAUGAGAUGAAUGGUCGUUCACUUGGUUACUAGAAGAUUUCAAUGAUACAUUACAUGGUUUUGAGUGAACUUUUAGUACCGACCCUGCUCAGAGAAUGAGAGUGUAGAGACUGAAUGUCAUUGAUAAUUGCUUAGCUCUUGAUCAUAGUCCUUAGUUGCUAGCUUCUUUUAAAACAACUGGGAAGUAGCUGGCCAUUACCCUUUGAAGAUGAUAGAAUGCGAGGUGACAUGAUUUUGUGAGGCAGGCUUAAAUUAUUUGGACCAAAAAUAUAAAAAUUGAACUGAUUUGGUGGGGUGUGCCAGGCCCUUGCAGCAGUGUAAGGCAUGGGCGACACUCGAAGGCCCAAGUAGCAAGCUACUUCAGUGGGCCCUUCCCCUUAAAAAAUUAAUUUAAUAUCGUGUGGACAUAUGGGCUCUUCACUUGUCACGCUAUUUAUAACUUGUAAUCAAGGGCUCUUCACUGAUGAGUUUCGAUGUGGGACUCAUAUAUGAACACUCAGCACUGCAGUUACUGACUAUCUAUCGAAGAAGGGCUCUUCGCUGAUGUUUUUUCUUAGAGUUUCAAUUCUGCUGCAGUCACUGUAGAUGUUGGUUGGUCCAGACCUGAUAAAUCAAGCUUUGGAUGGCUGGCACGGUCUCAUGAUGGCAAACUGAUGUGUGUUGCAUCUCCUUUGGAAGAUUGAAGAUUGGAACACAUUGUAGCUGAGGCUUUAGCCCUCAGAUGGUGUGUAUGUUCAUGGCUCAAGAGUUUAAUUUGGACAUUGCUCAACUCUCAUUGAGCUUCUAGUGUUGGACUGCAAGAAGUUAGCUGAAUCUUUUGUCAUAGUUACAUUCUCAUGUUUGAAGGAAAGCAAAUUGCCCCGCCCAUGUAUUUUCUUCUUUAGCUUUUGAUUUUGAACAUCCUAGGGGCUUUUGGUGGGAUGAUCCCCUUAAAGUUUUGAUUUAAGCCUUUGCCGAAAAAAGAACAAUGUCUUACAACGCUUCAGAUCACUUCGCUAAUUGUUGCUGGCACAGCAUAAAUAAGUUCUGCCAAAACAUCAAACAAAUAAUGUCUUUAUUUUAGUAGAUACUGAGAGACUGAGAGAUUGAUGAGGUUUAAACCAGUCUCGCACAAUACAAGCAUAGCUAAUCAGUUUGCCUUGUGUUAAUCUAUAGUGCUUAACACAAUAGGCUCGGUAGAGAGACUGUACCUGUACCCUCUAGCUACAUCUACUUGUAUAAUUGUAUUGGUUUUAGUCAUUUCUAAUGGGGUCUAGACCUCUCGUGGUGCCACCAGAAAAUGAGUAUGUUGUCACAGUCUUUUCAAAUCCAUCUGAAUUAAUAUUAUGGAAGUUUUAAAAAUGCUUGAUACUUCCCCUCGCUUAUGGUUGUAGUCCUUUUAGAUAUCAGUAUUACUAUUACUAUCUCAAACUACAGGACAAAACACAAAAGCUUUGCUUCUUGGGGGAAAAAUCAACAACAGAGGUUAGUAGGCAUGUUAGAUUAAUCUAGGGUAUAAACCCCAUGCUUAGUUGUAUUGCAUUACUUAGGGUAUAAACCCCAUUGUUCUAAUAUUGCAUAAUUGUUUUUGGCUUAGAUAUCUACAAAUCAACUACUGCUUUUUACCGAUUAUGAAUGAAAUAAAUAUUAAACUAAUAAAGCAUAAUUAUUUACCCUCCUACUUCAUCUACCUCAAGAUCUCAUUUCUUGAUUAGUAAGGUUGGUGAUUUCUAUCGCUGUCACGCUGUUUCGGUGAAAAUUGGGUAGAUUUACAUGUUUAAACUUUAAACUAUAACCACUUUAACGCAUUUCAAUAAAAUUACUUUAUAGAGUAUGGACAAGCUUUGCAACACAUUGACAUUAUGAAAAUGACUUCACUUUCUCCCUUUUUUUCCUUGCUACACUCUCUAAACCCUUUGCUAUUAAAAAGAAUAGACAAUACUGCAAAUUCCAAUUACUACCAUUUGAUUUCUUUUUCUUAAAACCUCUAUAUGGAUGGAAAUAGUUUUGCUACUUCACAAGGCUUAGUGAGUUAGAUUAUUUGUAACUCUAGUAAAUAUCAGUGCAAUUUCUUUCAAGUUGCUUUUCCACCUUUACUCAUUCUGAUAGGCAGAUUAGAAAUGCAACUUCCAAUGUGAGAGACUCAAGUCUAAUACCUUGCUAUUGGACCUUAGCAUAUGGCAUUUCAAAUUAAAUUCCACACAAGUCCCAUUCACUUGUUACUGCAAUCAUCAGCAGAGACAAUGUUGCAAUCUUCAAUUCUAGUGUUUGUACAUGAAUCUAUUAAGAAGGAAAAACAAUGGGAAUAAUUACAUAAUGUAAUGUAUACCAGUAUAAUUAGUCCUUGUAGUUGAAGUUUUUUCAGUAUAGAUGUCAUCAUUGGGAUAAAGGAUAAAAGUUUAACAAUGUUAAUUAGUUCGUGUUGAGAAUGUUUUUAAUCGUAAUUUUCAUGAGAACGUUUUUCCCUCAGUAGCCCAGAGAUCAAAACAUCAAAGCAAACAAUAGGGAUAAGACAUGAAGAAAUUUCUUCCACCUAAACCGAAUUAGCCAAGGUUUAACUCCCAGAGAAUAAUGAUUUAUCUCACUUAUAAUAAUUUUUCUCAAAUACCAUCAUCUGUUUAGUUUUUUAAAUAUAAUUUCCUAACCUAAGCAGAGUAUGCUAUUUGAGAAAAAGCACUACAUUAUACCCUUAAACGUCAAUUUGUUACCUAACUUUUAUAAUAGGUAAUGAAGGGCUCUUUGCUGAUAACAUUCAAUGUGGGACUCAUAUAUCAAUGGAUAACGAACCUUCAACAUUGGAGUUACUGACUAUCUAACGAAGAAUUAUACUUGGCUUCACUUAAAUUUUGUGUAUCACCAAGAAGACAUCAGAAGAAACCAGUAGCCACUAGCCAUUAUCAUGAAUUGGUUAUCUGGCAUCUCUAGAAAAACUAAUGCGACAAAAUGGAGAACUGGUCAUGUAAGAAUUGUAUUGAUAAUGUUGGCAUUGCAUUGAUAAAUUCAAUGACUUCUCAAAUAAGUGCAGCAUUUAGGUUUGAGGAUAGCACACCAGUGAUUGACGUGAAAUAGAAAGUAAAAUCUAAAUUAAGAAAAUUGAAGUAGUAAAAAGAGCACAGCCAAUUAGCACAGAUUUCCUCCAGCUUUUUUCAUGCUUGGCACAGAGCUUCAUCCCAUGAAAAUUGCCCAAAACCUCUGCCUUCUUCCUGGUUUACUGGUUCUUUAUCACUGAGAAAUCAAUGAUUCAGUGUUUCCAAGCUGUUGCUGCUAAAUGAUUUCACUUGGAUCCUUCUUGAAGCACUGAUGGAAGUCAUUUUUAAUAUCAGUGUAAUUUCAUUGAAGUUUCCUUUUCCCUUUACGCAUUCCGGUAGACACAUUAGAAAUGCAGAUUCCAGUGAAAUGACCAUUAGAAAUUCCACAUGUGAAGCUAUCAGUAAUUGUAGGAAGUGCUUUGGGGUCAAAACCAGGGUGAGGAAUCAUGUGACCCUUAAGAGUCUAUCAUUAAAAAUACAUAUUUCAUGGUGUUCAAGUUCAUUCCAAGAAACAUAUUUCAUUUAAUUCAUAGUUUUCCUCUACCAGCUGCUGCUUUACUAGUCUCUUCAAGAAAUCAUUUAUUAGGUUAAUUAACUAGCACUCAAUCACAUUUACUGCCUUCAAGCAAUCAUCUGACUAGAAGAAUGAAAUAGCUUAAGCAUGUCAAUGUUUAGACUAAUAUUGCAGAGUUCUCAGUAAAGAGAACUCUUCCAAAAAGAGGCGUAUGCCGUUUAGCGAGACAUGCACACGGUAUUCUUUAGUAAAAGGCGAAAGAAUAGUUCGCUUUGUGCAUAUCUCACGGCUGCAUGCUUCGACCCAAUGAAAACUCGUUUUAUUUAUAGGACAAGCAGCUUACAACUACUUAUAAAUAACCGAUGUGGGCUUUGGUUUGUUGCAUAGAGACACAACUUAAGCAGCAGCUUUGGCUUCCCAGUUCCCAGAGUCUAGAGUCUGGUCACUCACCUCUUUCAUCAACUCAAUGCUCACUCUCUUUCAUAUUUUGUAUCCCAUAAUUCAUCUAAUUUAUCUCCACAUAUGAGAUUAAAAGAGGAAAAAUUAAGUUGUCAUUGAAGCUUUCUCCCAUAGAAAGGGACCAAACCUCUGCCUGCUGGUUACAGGUUCUAUAUCACUAACAAAUUAAUGACUCAGACUUUCCAUCUUGUUGCUGCCAAAUGACUCAAAUUUGGUCCUUCUUGAAGUACUGAUGAAACACAUAUUUCAUGGUAUUCAUGCCCUUUACACAUGUGCUCCUAUACCAGCUGCUGAUUUUAUUCUAACAGGCUGAUUGAGUAUUGAUAGCUGUGAUAUCUUUAAAGUUUUGAGUAAUAAAAUUUCAUUUUCUUCCCUCUUUUCUAAUUCUUCUACUACAUGUAAUUUGUGUCUUUCAACUAAAUUGAGUUGGUUAUCUUUAAACUUGAUUUUUGUGAUAUAUGGGGUCAUUAUGUACAUGAGAUGGCAUACUGAAAGAAGUAUUUCCUGACCGUUGUAGAUGAUUGUUGCCGUUUCAGUUGUGUUUGCUUUUGAUUUUAAGUCCAAAUUAGAGUCUCUCACACCCAAUUUGGGGUUGUGAUCAAAUAUCUUAGAUCAAACAAAUAUUGGAAAGAAACAAUAUGCACUAUUGAAUUUCGUAUUCAUAAGAACCUUGGGUUAAUUAUACCACAAAAGCUAGUAUUACUGAAGUGGAACUCAAGUAUCAUUAUCAUGCUUUGCAAUUGGAUCCUAGCGCUUAUUCAGGCGUGGACAAACAUUUAUUGAAUGUUGACAUGGUUUGUUUUGUAGUCUCCUAAUUUGAAGUAAUAUAGAGCAAGAAACCAAACUAUAGCGUUUAACCAAACUAAUUGCUUGUGCUAUAUAUGUUGCCAUUUUGCAAUCAGGGAGAAACACUAAUUGAUGACCAGAGGGUGUAUUGAUGUUGUAUCCGAUCAAACACUAAUUGGCCAUUUCAUGCCAUGUACUUGUCGAUAUAUACCUUGGCCAAACAUUACAGCUUAUGACCCUUCUUUUCUUAGCUAAAUCUUAUCUUAUGGCCCUGCUCUAAUUAGUGAUUAAAACUCCAUUGAUGUUGAUGUUAGGGAAAAAAAUCUAUAAGCGGUGUGGGACUUCCAAUAGCAUAUUCCUAAAGAGCAAGUUCUCAAAGAGGCGCACCAGUACAAUGGCUUUAACCUCAAACGCACCAAUCUUUUUCUCUGGUAGAGACCCUUUUAAUAAUAAAAUAAGUAUAUUAUUAUAUAAAGUUGUCUAAAUUAUCCCAUGAGAUUAUUUAACUUCAUCAUAGUGGACUAAUUUUUAAGACUAAAAAGUUAAAUUCUUUUAAAUUAUAUUGGUCCAUUAGAAUUUCGCUAAACUAGACAACCUCAUAUUAUAUUUUAACCAUUAGGAUUGGGUCACAGUGGCUAACUUUUACAUGAGGUACUAACACUUUCAUGGCUAGAGAUGAGUUAGAGAAGAGAGAAGAAAAAAAGUUAGGGUAGAGAGACUACUUUCAUCCUUGUUUGGUUGUAGGAGAUAGGAGAAGAGAGGUUGAAUGGGUCAAACACCUUUUUGAGUAGCUUUCCUAAAUGAAGAGAAAUUGGGAGCGAAUGAGUUCUUGUGGUUUUUCACAACUGUAACUUUAGUGACGAUGUUAAAUUGAUUGCCUGAAAAUGGGUUUUCUUUUUUAAUUUGAAAGUGGGUUUUUGAUUGUCAUAAAUUUUUAAUAUGUAUAAAUAUUUUUUCUUUCACCUCAACAUCAUUAUUUCUCUUUUAUUUUUAUCGUUAUAAAUGACAUACAAAAUUUAGUUAUUUUUCAACUUUUUCUCUCUAUUCAUUUGUUUAUCUCUUCACCCAAAUAAAUCAUAAAUAUUGUUUGAGUCUCAUUGCCGCAGUAGUAGAAGUUAAAAUGACAAAACUCAUGUAUAUUUCGUACGUGCCUAGCAUGUGUUACUAGAGUUAUCUUGCUAAUCAUCCAAAUAUUUGAGUGGCUGAGGGAGGAAGGAAACAGAAGUGGGAAUUAAACAUCAAAACUUUAUAAGAAAGUUUGGAUAAUUGGAUUAGACAUAAAAUUGAACCGACCAGCACUUGCUAGUUGCUACUACCUAAUAAUGCAAUUGCCAAUAGAUAUAUCAUAUAUAAACCCUGGGAAUUUGCACGUGUCAUAGGCAAAGCAUUUUAGUGGCACACGUGUUUUGGCGUAGGGGUAACGGUUGAGCCAAUACGUGUUGGAGACACUAACAAGUAACAACGUUUUGUUUUGUGUAAAGUGACACUAGCAACACAAUAGGUUCAAGAAAAAGGGAAUUAUGGAUGUAAUUGCUAGUUGUAAUCGUUAACAUGGGUGCUUAUGGUUGUGUUUGGGUUUGUGAGCAGACAUUCAGCGGCCUCAGUGUGCAGUGGCAGAAGAAGAAAAAAUUUGAGGGAGCUAAAAGAAGAUUGCAAUAUAUAAACUAUAAUAUUUUGUAUUAUUAAUGCACAAAUGUUCAUAAAAAAAUAGUUCACAUAAUAUGGAUGUUGAAAAUUUAUUAUAAGUUAGGUUAAUAAUCUUGAAAAUUUACUUUUUCUUUUCAAUUUUUGGUUAUGGAUAUAUAUUUUACCGUUAAAUAACUUCCUUUUAUAAGUUUGGAACUCUAUAAGUUUUAAUAUUUGUGCAAGAUAACUAAGGCUAGCUGUUAAAAAUGAAAAAAAUGUAAGAAGGACUGUGCGUGGUUCCCAACCACUGAACCAGUGUCGUGUAUUGUUUAAUUUUAUACACAUUUUGUUAUAUAUAUAUAUAUAGUAUUAACUGAAUAUUUUUUUUACCCAAAUACUUUUUUAAAAUUUUUGAGGCAUGUCAUCAAGAAGGUCCGCCACUGCGUCAGUGGGAUGUGGCUUUUUAGUUCAUCUACGUGUAAGUUAUUUUAAAUAUGUAACGUGCAUGUAACGUGUGGUACUAAUUUUAUGUUUUUAAUUUAUUAAAACAUAUCAUGAGAGAUUGAUUUUUGUAAUUGUUUUUUAAAAAAUGAUAGGGCUUGUGAUGUGGCCCUGAUUGUGAUUCGUGGUUAGGUCUGUAAGGUGUCUUUGCCCAACACACCAACACUGCAAUCCCACUCUGAUACCUGUCAUCGUACUUUGCUCCAACAUCAACCCUUGGUCAUUCUCCAAACUACGUAAAUGCCCAAAUGUUGCAUAAAAAUUAAAAUACACUACCAAAAAGCAAUGGCUUUGCUGUAAUUUAGGGAAAAUGUCAAUGGCAGAUGUCUCAAAGAACAUCCUACAGCUUUAAUUGUUCCACGAGUUCUGUUUUGUAUUGAAAUUGAAAUAAACCGACCACUAGUCGAUCACCUCAAUUGUGUGGACAAAAGAAUUCUGGUUUAUAUGCAACCCCUCUCUUUCAACUCUCCCCACAUCAACAACAACAACACUCUUUGCUUCAACUCCAACCUCAAUCCACUACUCCCCCCCCCCCCACCAACAAAAAACACCCCUUUUUCCUCCACCCCCACCCAAACCCCACUCCCCCUCUAGGGCGGCAGGCCCCCCCCCCGCCACAACCUUAAACCCCUCCAGUCUUCUCCAAACCUCAACCCUUUUCCCUAAGCUAACCCCAACAUUGUUCUUCACCCCCUUAACCUUAAGAACUUCCCAUCACAGAACAGUCCUUCAAACCCGGAGAAGAAUCAGGGGCUUCACCGUGUGUAUCCUUACAGAGGGUCCAAAACCAGGCAUACAGAUCAAAACAGAGGAAGAAGAGGAACCACCUCCCAACAUAGUGAUUCCUCAAAUCAUGUCAGCACGUGUGGCAGAUUAAUUGGCAAGGAAAAAGUCAGAGAGGUUUCCUUCCCUUGUUGCAGCUGUUAUGUCUAGCCUUGGUGUCACUUCUAUGGCUAUCUUGGCAGUUUACUAUAGAUUCUCAUGGCAAAUGGAGGUAGCUACAAAAAAUCCUCUAAAUUUAUGCUCAUUUUCUUUAUGUAUCUAAGUAUUAUGACAUUAAUUUGUGUAUGAAUGUUGGAUUGGAUUGGUGUAUAGGGUGGACAAAUUCCUAUGUCUGAAAUGUUUGGCACAUUUGCCUUAUCAGUGGGAGCUGCAGUAAGUCCUGACCCUUUUCUCAAUUCAGCAUUGUGAAGCUCUUGAAUGUGAAAUUUGGUAACUUUGGGUGCUAAAUCCAACUGGGUAUGUCUGAUUUUCAGGUGGGCAUGGAGUUUUGGGCUAGAUGGGCUCACAAAGCUCUCUGGCAUGCUUCCUUGUGGCACAUGCAUGAAGUAUGCUUCCAAUUCAUCAAUUUCCCUUUUCUUCAAAAUUGAACCUUAUCAUCAAAUCAACCAAUUCAUUCAAUCAAAACAUGAAUUUGAAUCGUUUUGCAGUCACACCAUCGACCAAGAGAAGGACCGUUCGAGCUGAACGAUGUUUUUGCUAUAAUCAACGCUGUUCCUGCCAUUGCUCUUCUCUCCUAUGGUUUUUUUCACAAGGGAUUGGUUCCUGGACUCUGUUUUGGUGCUGUAAGUGUAUCUUUCAUAAUCUACUUUUUAAUCAAUUAAUCCCUUAAUUAACGGUUUCAUAGGGAUCUGUUAAUUGUAAUUAAGGAUUAAGAAUGAUAAUGAUUUGACUGUAAUGCCCCUGGUGAUUCUCUUUAUUGACAUCAUUAACUUCGAGCAGGGUCUAGGAAUCACAGUGUUUGGGAUCGCCUAUAUGUUUGUCCAUGAUGGAUUGGUCCAUAAGAGAUUCCCUGUGGGUCCCAUUGCCAACGUGCCCUACUUCAGAAGAGUUGCUUCUGCUCAUCAAGUAAUUGUUAUUUUAACCUUAAUCAAUUGCUUAAAUAAUAGUUUACUUUUGAUUAGUACUUGAUCAAUGUGGCGUGUACGUGUUUGUUUCUGUUUCUACUGGACUAGGAUUUGAUCUGAGAUUACUUUGAUUUUGUUGUCUGUUUUCAGCUACACCAUUCGGACAAAUUCAACGGGGUGCCAUAUGGGCUGUUUUUGGGACCAAUGGUGAGUCAUCACAUUCAUAUUUCUUCUCCUUAGGUUUGGUUUCAUUAAAAUAACCCUUUUAGAUGCUAAGUUAAUAUUUUAUUAUUGGUUAAGUGUUCAUGAAAAAACCUAGAUACAAAGUCAGUAGGUAGUCGCUAAGCAUUAGAAUUCUCAGCAAAUGAACACACUUCAUUAAGUAUGGAGGACCCUCUAUAUAGUCGAGGUCUCCCUAGAUUACAAAUGUAGAAAAUCAAACCAUUACAAAAUAAGAGGGAGAGAAUCAAGUGAUUAUAUUAAUAUGAAAAACAUAAUAAAGUGAGCUAAGAUUCUAGCGCAGUAUGAGUGACUUAGUCGGCCUAAUACCCUAGUAAGCCACAACCCUCCAAGACUUGGAGUCAAGCAAGUGUUGGCGACAAAGCCUUACAAUCCGGCCCAGAAGUGGUUUCAUCUUAGACCGCAUUUGGGUUAUGUUGUCAGCCUACGUAGUCCUAACUGUCUACUUCACUUGGUAUUUGUAAAUUUAAAAGAUUUUACUAGUAGUGGAAUGAAAUAGGACCUUAUAAUUUAUGAAAGUUUUUUGACAUAUUUUUUAUAAUUUAACAAAAUUUAAUUAUUAUUCUAAGAAUUCUAUUGACAUUUUUUAACUAUAUGUCGUAUUUAUUUAAAAAAACCAAUGAAGUUGUUUUUUGAAACUAAACCAAUAAAGUUAGAAGAAUUAAAAAAGAAUACUAACUUUCACUUUAUUGAAGUUUCUUCUGCAUAUAGUUUUGUUGAAAGUAGGUUGUCACAUUUAAAUUUCAUUGAAUUAUUGUGAGAUAAGAUGAGCGUGUGUGUGUUAGAUCUAAAUUUUUUAAUAAGCGUUGUUUAAGGUUUGGAUAUUUCUUGUGGUGCAGGAACUUGAAGAAGUAGGAGGGCUAGAAGAGCUAGAGAAGGAAAUAAGUAGGAGAAAAAAAUCAUAUACUGGUUCAUGAGAAACUGACUAGCAUUAAAUUUAAAGGUGUCUGAAAGAAUGUGUGUAGAGAACUAUACAACAAAUGAAUGAAAUGAUUUGAUUCUUUUUUGCGCUUACACAGUUUUUGAUCUUAAUUAUAUAGGGAUAUUUAGCUAACAGAACAACAGGUUCAAAACUAUGUAGAUCAACCGAUAUUGGUGGUGAUCUUUCAUUCUUCAUUUUUAUUUUUCCUUCGUACAAACAUGCUCACUCAUGUGGAUACAUUAAUGCCAUAUAAAGUCCCUAAACCCUCAGAAUUCAACCAAGAAUCCAAGUGACUUUUUAGUGGAGAUUUGUUUUUAAUCAGCGUUUUAUUCUUUAUGAAAAGUGAAAACAAUUAGGGAUGAGAACCGUCAGUUUCGGGCUCGUUUAGCCCAGCCCAAUCCGACCAAAACUGACAUGGGCACUGUGCACCCAUAUUCGGCCCAAAUAUUGGGAUCAAUUUGUUCAGGUGAGAUGGCCAUCAUAUGGGUUAGCACGGAUUGGGGCACCCAAAAUUUUUAGUCUUCAUAAUUUAUGAGUUUUGAUUAUAAAAAAUCUGUAAUUUUCAAUUGACUAUUAUCUUGGGCCACAUUAGCUGGUAUUUAAUAUUUUGCUUCAAUUUAGUUUCAAGUAAAAAAACUUGACAAUAUGUACUUAAAAUAAUGGGCUAACAUUUUGUAAAAAGCUCAAUUUCAUAGAAGGAAAACAUAUGCUGAAAUCCAACAUGCAAUAUACAAUUUAAAAGAAUAAGCAUCCACAUGUAUAUUUUCAUAUUUAAACCUUUCUCUAGUUAUUUUGAGUUUAUCAUGCUCUUCCAUUUUGAUAACAUUUGUAUUAAUUUCAUAAACAAGAAGUUCCAACAACAAUUCAAUCCAACAAACUAAGAAGAAAUUCCAUACUUUGCCUUUUAUUUCUAAUUGUCUAUGUUUACUUGGGUAUCUUGAAACUAACUAAUGUUCAGAAAAAGCAUUUAUAAAAAUGGAUAGGUUGAAGUAGCAUAUUUUCAGUGAUACAGUAGUAUUGAACACUCGAUACACCCCCUUCACAAAUAAAUAUUCUUUUUUUUAUUAAUGGUCUACUUAAUCUCCAAAGCGUAAGAGUGGUAAGGAAUCGCUCAAGCGGGCUAGCCCAUAGAGUGAUUACAGCUAAUUAAGAAGUAAGUCCCUAAAGGCAGUAUCGAUGCCAGCAGGUUCUAAGGGUGGAAGUAGGCUAGAUGACUCGUUACGAGCCCGCAACCUAACCCAUCAAAUAUCUGGUAUGAGCUGACCCAUGUAUUAAAAAAAGUUAGGCUUAAACUUUCUAAAAAGCUAGAUUAACUUAAAAGACUAAGCUCAAACUAUAAAAAAGUAUGUUUGACCUAAUAGACCAGCUUGCUAACGUAAUAUUAUCUGUAUUAAUAACAUAACAUAAAUAAAUAAAUGAAAAUGUGAUGAUACGUAGAAAGAUCAAUUAAUUCGCUAACUCACUAGUCUUUUUAACAUUAUAUUUUAUGUUAAAUAUGUUUUUAAACAUGCUAAUAGACUAGAUCAUGUCCUCUUAAAGGCUAGGUCAAACGUUAGAAUCAGACUUAUGAUACGCCACAAGCCAACCUUGGUUCAUCUCAUUAGAAUGAGGGUGAGAUUUAGGUUACUCAAAGCUCUUAUGACUUAGGCAUAAACUUGGGAAAAGAUCCACAUUCCAUAACACACUAGAUCAAAAACAAAAUCUCAACCGUCCACCGUACCCAAAAGAUCGCCCAAAAGAUCCCCGAUCCAACGGCCAAGACAAGCCCGACGAACCUCCAUUGAGGUAGGUCCCAAUCUCGACCAAGACGGGGCCACGUGUCCGCUGGAGACCAACCAAAGCCAAGAUGUGAUCGCAGGAAAAAGAAAAGUCAGAAAUAAUUUUAUUCUAGAGCCCCCUUUUGCCAUCAUCUGACGCGUGUCCCCCCGCCAUUCGUAAUUGACAUCGUUGUUGUUGUUGUUGUUGUUUCCUUUCUUCUCUCAUCAUAUGUUAUCAACCGGUUACUUCUUCUUCUCUCUCUCUCUGUCUUUCUCUGAACAUUGAUUUUCACUUUCGUUUCCUACACAACUACGUUUCCUCUAGAUCCAACUACUUCCGUUACCACUAUUCGCUUCUCCUUUGUUUUUCCUACCUCAAUCGCACUCUGUUAGGUCCAAACCCUCUUUUCUCUCUAUGCCAUUCCCCCAGGUUUGUUUUUAUUUUAUUCUUAUGAAUUUUGCUUUCAUGGCUAAUUGGAUCUGGUUUUCAAUUAUGUGCUGGAGUGAUUGAAUUUGGUGAAUUUUGAUGUUUUUAAUUCUGGAUUCAGUAGAUCUUGUUGUUUUUUUAAUGCUGGGGGUGGUUGGGUUUCACUUCAAUUCAGUUCAUUGCUUUCUUCUCAACAAUUCGGUAGAUCUAGUCACGGUUAUAAUGAUUCUGGUUCGUUUCAGAUUCUCUUUAGUUGCAAAACAAGUAGAAUUUAAAAAACCUGCAAAUCAAGCUCAUUGAAUCUAGCCAUCUAGGUAUAAUUGGCUUGAAUUUUUUUGGGGUAUUAUGUUCAGGCAAUAAUUCAUUGAGUUUAUGGAUGAUAUAAGUUGGUGAAGGACUUCAAUUUGAUUGUUAGGUGGCUGUGAUGUUGGUAGAUGGUUGACUUUCAAUGUAUUAGUUAAGGCUUAGUUAGUACUAUCUAAGUUGUAUGUUGGUUGAAGCAGUAUUGAUACGAUGUCGACAUAGUUAUGUGUUUGUGAUAUUGAUCUAAGUCUUAAUUUGGCUUAGUUAAAUUUUUAUCAUUAUCCUUUCUCAGGUUUAUAUGGCGUUUUUCCUCAUCCGUUUAGGGAAGUGUCUGUUUUUUUUAUCAGUUUAUGUAGCUAGGAAUAAUAUAGAUUAAAACGUGCAAACUGCAUAUGUAUAAUGUAUUAAUGUGUCUUUAUGCAAGACACUUUCAUCCCUCCCUGCACUGUUCAUUCAUCUAUACACUUGACUUGAGAACUUGAUGUACUGCUUUUACAUGCUAUCAACAUGAUUUAGUCAUGCUACUGUUUUCUUUCUUUCCUUUUUAAUCACUACUACUUUUAUGAAAAUAAUAUAGAAUUUAUCACUUCUAAUAUUUUAAUCAAACCUAUUUAAUGACUGAAACUUGGAAAUUAUUGGUUAUAAUUUGGUAUGAACAUUUGAAUUUCUCCAUAUCUUCUAUUUUCAUAAUUGUGGUUAUGUAUGUAUAUAUAUAUAUGAUAUAAUAUAUUUGGUAGUUUUAAUUGAAAUUUCGUUAGUGGUGAAAUUCUUUGGUUCCUGUAAUUGUUCAUUUGCAUGUUCCAUGGUGGCUUGUCUAGUCACAUAAACUCCUCCAUGCCCCGAUUUCUUUGUCCCCCUCACCCCCAUUACCUAGCUGUAAAUAAAUCUUGUCUCUUUAUUUUUGACACUUUCAGUUUCUGAUGGUUUUGCUGUAUUUUUGCUUAUACUGCAGUUGGGAAGGGUGUACUGGAAUCAGAGUGUAGCGGCCGGGUGCAGAUUUAUUGAUAGUCUCGUCGCUUUUCAAGGAUGGGUAAGUGCAAAGGUUGCGGGAAGUUAGGAAGAAUGAGUACAAGUUAUGGAUCUAAGAGUAUUUAUGAAUUUUCUUUGAUGCUGUCUCCUGUUGUUUCUUUUUGGGACUGUAUAGUUCGCAAAAUGAGGUACUCCUACAGACCUGAGUGGGUGUAGUGGUUUCAGAACGCGUCAUUAGUACUAGCCUUGAUACUUCAACCUUCCGAUCUGUGAAAUUAUAGAUAAAUGUAUACUGCUCUGAAGAAAAUCUCUUGAAGGAGGAUAGGAGUUUAUAAAAGUAAUUUUAAGUAUUUACAUUGGUAGUAAGUUCUAUGGAUAGCAUGGCAUGUAACAAGGGGCAACAAGUGAGAAAGACGAAGAAGAAGCAGGUGAAAGAUGAGUUGGAUCGUCUGAAACAGGCUGAAAAGAAAAAGAGGCGCUUGGAGAAAGCACUAUCUACUUCUGCUGCCAUCAUCUCUGAACUGGGGAAAAAGAAACAAAAGAAGAAAGAAGAACAACAGAGACUUGAUGAAGAGGGUGCUGCAAUUGCUGAAGCUGUUGCUCUGCAUGUCCUGCUCGGUGAAGACUCGGACGAGUCGUGUAACGUUGUCAUUAAUGAAGGUGGGUGCAAUUCGUGGAAUUAUAAUCAUGGUCUUGACUUCUUCAUGGGUGGAAAAAGAGCUUGCUUUCCUCAUCUAGAUGGCGGAACAUGGUCUGUCACUGCUGAAAAUGGCAACUGGUCUUUCUCAUCUGGGCCUUUCGAAUUUGAAAAGAAUGUGCAUGAGCCACUUUACGAAGAUGCCGGAUGGGGUUGUACGGGUUUAUCUGCUGAUCUGAUAGCAGCACAAGCAGCGAGAUCGCUCCAUAUUGCAGAGGACACCGAUGAAGAUAGGAUUCUCUUCUAAUUCUAAUACUGUUUUGUCUUUGAUGGUGACUUGAUGAAGUCUCUUGUUAUUUUACUUGAGUUUGUCAUCUGUAUAUAAUUAUAUAUCAUGAGUCAUGUGCUUGUCAAACACAUUCUGCUUCAGUUGUGAUUGAACACAUCAUGUUCUGUUCUGAUUUUUCUUUAUCUGUAUGCUGUCCUGCUAAUUUUUGUGUGUAGUGACUUUCAAACUCGAGCAUAUUUAUACUUUUUUGAGCUGAUUACCAAUAAUAUGAUUGAUCACCUCGUUAUUUAUAUUCUUGCAGUGUUGGCUCAUCAAUUACAUCUCAUAAACAUGUUGUUUGCCAAUGUUAUUAAUCCAAGUUUUUUUUUUUACUUGCUCCUGUCAAAGUUUACUCCUUGCAUGGCUCUCCCUGUAUGUGUCUGGAUACAAGUUGCUCUAAAAGGACUUUAAAUCGAACAAAAUCUCCAAGUAUUAUUUAACUUUUUCUCUUGAAAUUCAUGUGAGUGUGCUUUUAAUAAGCUGAGUUUGUUGCAUUUUCUGUGGUGAUGUGCCUUUGUAGAUUGAAAGAUCUUUCUAAAGAACAAGGAACUUUACAUCAUAUGUUGGAUUCUCACUUUUGGAACAUCUUUAGUUGGUCUUUGUGCUUUAAGCUAGCACACACAAUUGAUUAGACUUUUCCUAGUAAUUCACUAAAGAUGAAUACAGAUGUACAAUGUCAUGGUGGUGCUGCCACUUUCAAUUUGAAGUCAUUAAAAGCAAAACCCAAGUGUGUGAUGCACAUGUCAAGUACUAAUGAACAAAGCACUGAGAAUGCAAGUUGGGAAGGGCGGCUGAAAAUUUAUAACAAGACCACAUAUGAUGCUGCAUAAAUUGGGGAAAUCCAUGUGAAGACAAGAGCCAUGAUGGAUGUGUUAUUAAUUUAUGUGAAUGUGAUGUUAGCAGAUUCGUUAUUGUUGACUACACUAUCUUUUUGGUAAUGGAGUUCAUUGCUUCACGUCAUUUGAUUUCAUUUGAUUUUAAUUUUGAUUUUUAAUACAUUCAUACUCACAUUUUUAUUCGCUCUAUUUUCACUCACUGACUUUAUUUUCACACAUUGACUUUAAAUAUUUUUAUCUUCUUUUUUAUAUGGCAUGAUGAAGUUUAAUGUGAAUAUCAAUGAAUAGUUGAGAGCAAUAUCGAAAUUUCACCUACAUUGUGAACUGCAAACAUGUUCUUUUGUCCAAUCACUCUUCCACCACCUCCCACCACCCGUGCCACCACCACCUUCGGCAACCCAUCCCCCCACCUUAGCCAACCACCACAAAACACCUAUCAUUCACUAUCUUUGAAUUCGAUCUCAAAUUUUAUAGAACAACAGUGCGUGUCUUUCAAAUUGGUUAAGAUUUUUUGGAAACUUUUGAUUCAAAACGUGAACAAAAAGAAGCAAAGUACAAAUAUGAUAGCGAAGGCAAUACAGAACAGAGAGUGAGUAUGCCAUCAUCGCUCAACACCAUACUUUUAUGGCGCCACAAAGUGAAAGUUGAAUUUUUUUCAUACUUUUAACUUUGUAGCGGAUUUCCACAAAAGUAAGGUGUUGAAAGUCAUCACCUUUUUUUAGUGGUUUACCUAUUGCCACUGGUAGUCGAAUAUGAUUUACACCAUAUCCUUUGCGACGGAGGUGUAUGACUUUGUCUAAUGGUGGUUGAUGGUGAAUUGGUGAUUCUGUUGGCUGACGGAGAAGAAUGGUUGGUGCUGGAGACUGAGAGACUCAAAUAAAAAGGUAACUUUCUUAAUGUAUUGUGUAUUGAAUCCGAAGCAUUAAAUAUUUUAAUAAAAUAUCGUAUGAUUGUGUAACAUACCGUAUUUUAUGUGACUCAUUUUAGACAACACAGUGUGAUAAAAGUAGAUAGCAGCUAGGUUACAUAAGAAGUGUAUUUUUGAGUGGAGACAACACGCUUCCAUUGCCCCCACUUUCUUUAGAAUUGCACGCAUCUUAUUGUUGGCUGGAUGGAUGUUAUCAACUAAAGUCGCUAAAGGUAUCCCCACCCAUUUAAUUUAUGGGGUCACACUUCGUGACAAGAAUCUGAAUUUUAAUUUUAUAAAAAUACAAAAAAUUACUAUAUGAAAUGGAAGGAGGGAAGUUAAAUAUAGUGCAUAAUUUCUGUAGUCCAUUAUUUGGAACUUGUAGGUCCAUCAAUACUGCUAAUCACAACUCACAAGCACAUUUUAACAAAAAAAGGAAUAUCACAAUUCACAGCACAUUUUAGUAGUUUCUAUGUUUAGCAAGUCUCCUGAAAGUUCUAAAAGAAAACCAUUACAUAUCCUAUAUGACAGUCACAGAUUAUCUUCAUUCUUCAGCAACACAAAGUAUUGUAAUUGAAAUUAGAACUUUCAAAAUAUCAAUUAUAUUAUACAAUCAGACCUUAAACAAACCUACAGCUGAUCACAACUUUGACUGAUUCAGCUCUAGAACGAAUGAAGAGUAUUGCACAACAUAAAAGAAUAAAGUAUACAACAAUAGAUUUAAAGCAUCCCUCCAAUGCCAAGAAACAGGAUAUUCAAACAUUUGUAAGAAACUAUCAAUGAACCAGUGCAAUAUAAGGAGCCUAUAGCAGUCUUCCAUGAGUAAAUAUUCAUGGUUUUGAUGCAAUUUCUUUAAAAGACAAAAAAACUGAUCAACAAAAAAUUUGAAGCCUAGGUAAUGUUGUAAUAACUCUUUAGCCAUGUGAUUUUUGCUUUUUCAAUACUUCUGCAAGAACUGCUUAGGCUAUGUUUGGAUACUCGCUAGCGCCAUUGUUAACUCAAUCGAUAUCCAAACACAUACUUACAUUUGCAGCAUUUACCUAUCUCUAUCUGCCAUCAUUGGUCAUUAGCUGGUAAAACACAUCACUCCUANNNNNNNNNNNNNNNNNNNNNNNNNNNNNNNNNNNNNNNNNNNGAAGGAUCUUGGAGCUGAAGUGCAUGUUCCAAAUUCCACAAGACAUCACCCAUAGUUGGCCGGUCAACACUAUAUUGAGCCAAACAUUUCUCUGCUGUUUCGCCAAAUUUCNNNNNNNNNNNNNNNNNNNNNNNNNNNNNNNNNNNGCCCAUUCUGCUAAAUUCACCUGUUCCCUGGUGAGUUGCGGAUCAACAGCAGGUCUGCCACAUAGUACCUCAAAAAGCACAACCCCAAACGAAUAAACAUCCGAUUUAUCCGUAAGCUGCUGCCUCCGGUAAUACUCGGGAUCAAGAUAACCGAAACUGCCUUUCACACCGGUACUCACAUGUGUUUCAUUAAUGCACGGCCCAGAUCUUGAAAGACCGAAGUCAGCAACCUUGGCAACAUAAUCUUCAUCGAGCAAUAUGUUGGUUGAUUUAAUGUCACGGUGGAUGAUUCCCUGAGCAAAACCAGUGUGAAGAUAGUGGAGACCUCUAGCGGCACCAAUGCAUAUCUCUAGACGCUGCUUCCAAGAAAGAGGUGGCAGUUUUGCUGAGCCAUAUAGAUGCUUUUUCAGUGGACCUUUUUCAACAUACUCAUAGACAAGUAUCAUUUCUGAAUUUUCUUCACAAAAACCGACUAGUGAAACAAGGUGGCGAUGGCGAAUUUUGGAUAAAAUUGUUAUUUCCGAGUGGAAUUCUGGAAGGCCUUGUCUGGAACCAGGCAUGCCUCUCUUGACAGCAACCUUUACAUUGUCUUUGAGCACUCCCUUGUAGACCAUACCGAACCCACCCGACCCUAUAAUCAAACUCUUAUCAAAAUUGUUUGUUGCUGAUUGUAUUUCUGCAAAAGAGAACUUCAAGCCAAAAUGUCCAUGAGAACCAUGUUCAGAUGUUCUACUAAGUGAACUCCCUCCAAACAUUCGCAGAGGUGUCCAUCCAACACUUUCCACUGACCUUUGUUUCGGUUUCUUCUUCUUGCAUUUGUAAGCAAGUAAUAAAGCAGAUACAACAAAAAAUAAGACCAAAAUUCCUCCAAUAAUUGAACCCAACACCACCCUCAACUUUUUCCUUUUGUGCACAACUUUAGUACUAUCCACAUCAUUGACCAUCUUCAUUACCUCUGCACCAUUCAAUAUGGCAUUCAUCCUUAUAGUACUGCUCAGGUCAGAAGGACCAACACUUACUUCAAUAACACCCGAAUCAUCUGAAUUUGUAACGAAAUCCACAUAGACCGGUGAUGCAAGCUCAUGAAUCGUAAGGGUUGACAAAUCAAGAUCCUUAUAUGCACUGUACCUAUUGAUAUACACAUCAAAGUAGAGCAAGUUCAGAGAAGGACUAACAAUAUCACAGAAAUGCAACCUUAUCAAAUAUGGAACACCGCCAGGAGUCACAGGAAAGUUCCAUGUUAAGUUGAAUCUUGAAGCUAAGAUUGUGUUCUCCUUGUUCAUCUGCUGAGCAGUCAUGUAAACAUAUUCAGGCGCGAUCUCUCGAGUCGCGCCUCCCUUCUGAAAAUUCGGUAUGUGAGUGCUUACUGCAGCCUUAGCUGCAUCCUUAACAACCAGAUAAUCCUCAUCAGGAAUCCAAGUCCUCCAAAGGGUAUCAUUAAAAGGAGUUAUUUUCAAGCCUCCAACAUUAAUCCUAUGAACAGUUUCUAAAACCUGAGAUGAAAGGUUUCUAUACUCCUCCACUCCAGAAGGACCAAUAAACCUUGUUCCAUAAUCUAUGAUGAAAUCUACAGGAGCAGUAAACACCUCCAAAGCAUUGACAAAACCAAAACCUGAAUUACCAACAGGUCUAAACAAAAUUUCAAGCAGGUUUGAUUCUAUCUUCAAAAUAAACUCUUUAAGCAACACAUCAUUUGGUGGCCGGAAUUCACUCAGAACAGAAACCCCAUUAACCAAGACACUAAAUUUAGCAGAUUUCAGAUCAAAACUUGAAGCUUUAAAAGGGAAAAAGUGGAAACGCACCAAGUGAGUACCGUUUCUCUUCAUGCUGAAUCUGUAUUUCUCAGUGCUUGUGAACACUCUGGCUGUGUGGUACAAAACUGGCAAAUUUGGAGGUGAGUUUUGGUUAGUGAGAGAUAUGGAAUCAUCUGCAGAGAGAAAACUGGAACCUGGGUUGGUGGAAUCACUGAUGAAGACUCUGUUGAAGAAGGAAGCAUUGGUGUGUGAUCCACAGUUAAGAAGGAAGUUGUCAGAGGGAGUGAAUGGGGCAGAGAAAGGCAUGAAAAGGAGAAGCAUUAAAAUCAAUGGUGUACGCUUUUGAGACUCCAUGUGAGAAGAGCUUUUGGAUUCUUGAAGAGUGUGAGUAUCAGGGUGAGGAAAAUCCAUGUCAUGAGAAGGAAGAAGGUGCAGAAGUGUGAACAAUUACAAAGGUGAAACAGCAAACAAGACAACAUAGACAGAGAGACAGUGACUUGACUCAGAGUGGAGAUUUGGAAAGGAAAAUAUAAUAAUAUUGUAGUACAAACAUAAAUGGAUUUCGUUACUGAAGUCAAAGGAUUUGCACCUCCUUUUUCAUUUUGCUUUUAGUUGGUAAAUUUGUCUUGAAACUCAUCAUUUUUGGAUGUUUCACACAAAUCUACUAAGAGAGUUUUCCCCUGCCUCGAGUUUAAUAUAGAGUGAUUUUAUUUUAUGCAUGUUUGGUUUCGAUUAUAGCAUUACUAAACAUGAAUUAUUUGUUACUUUUAUUAGAUGUCGAUCAAGUCUAGAGGUAGAUCUAUUUGGAUUUUCCUAACACACUUCAUCAUUUUUUAAGAAAAAUCACUGUCAUUAAGAUUCAUUGAGUUAUAUAAGUAUGAGAUACAAGUUUUGAUUAAUAAAGUGUUGCUUUAGUAGUAAGCAAGUUAGACGUCUUAUAAAGAUGAGAGCAUACAUUUAAAUUCGUGAAAAAUAUUCAUUACAAGAGACAUGCAAUCGUUUUUCAAAUGAAUAACGAUAUCCGUUAAAAAUAAAAAAUAAACAAAUUCUCACAAUAAUUUUAACAAAUAGUAAAAAUGGAAGUGUUAGAUAGAAAAUGUUAAUGAGCACUAUUCCUUAUAAACACACUAUCCCUCACCAAAAAAAUUGUACAGAAAACUGUUUACACACUCUUUUUUAGGCCAGCAUCUUGUGUUUACAUCCCAAAGAACUGUUUGCAUAUCAUACUUAAUUAAUGGGCAUUUGACAAAAUUUCUCAGCUUAGGUAAGAAAUCAUGCACCUUUCAAUCUCAAAAUCAUAAAUUGGCAUCCACAUAUUGUUGGGUGUACGUCUCCCUCAACCCUUAUCUUUUGAUAUAUCAGAAUAUAUCCAUGCGAAUAAGUUUUAGUGAGUUCCAGU